GGAGACGCAACCUGGCACCCGAUGGUGACUGUCAACUGGGAGACGCACCUCUGAUCCAUAAAGAUGACUACUCCGGAGCUCAUCGUUCAAGAGGAGCGACCUACCUUUCGAACCAAACGAAUGUGAGUAAUGAUCUGGAUCUCUUGUUAGAGACAACAAUAGACAAUCGUCACACUUUGACUCCAACUACCUGUAUGCUAGUCAAACAUUCAAAUCUCUAAUUAGAAUGUCACCAAGUUUGCUAUUGUUAUAGUCCAUACAUUCAUAGGGUUCUAUAAUCCAGCAUUCUAUUUGUUCAUAUAUUUCAUCGGUGAUAAAGCAUUUGCAUAAUCAAAAUAUCACUUAACAUAAUAACGAAACCCUAUAAUGCAUGGAUACAAAUGUAAGAUAUGCUACAAUAAAUUAGCAUAGACAUAAAAGCGAUUCAAAGAUUCGGAUAGCACCACCCACUGCCUGUAGUGGUGUCAGAACUAGAAUCCACUCUCGCACUGCUGUGCCAACACGAAUACAGCGACUCAAUGCAAUUAGAGCGAAUUGGCUCUACUGUAAGUAUGCGUCGCCGAGCUGUCGGAUAUGUCAAUGUUAGACUUUCGAGGCAAGUUUAACCUUUCAUUUAUAAAGAAUAAAAAGAUUAAACUUAUGUUAUAGCCCUAUUUCUAACAAACUGCAUUCACUUAACAUACAUAUAUAUAGUAUAUGUGUUAUAGGCCUUCUAUACAUAUACUCUCUUAUUUCCAUUCUUUUACCCAGUCAUUUUAUUAUUCAAUCAGCGAACUUCAACCUUAUUAAUGUCAUUUCUAUUUCAACACUAAGCCUAAUACAUUCAUACGUAUAUACAAUGUACAUGAUACAUUUAUAUGUACAACUUGUUCACCAUUCCACCACCUAUAUUAUACUAGAACGUUUCAACAUAACUACUUUCAACCCAAACUAGCCACUUGACAUCAACUAGAGCAUUCUCUGGAUGCAUUACAGUCAAUAAGACAUUAGCAACUUAGAAAUUCUAAGUUAGACAUUUGCUCUAGGUUCGUCACAUGGCACUUAGAGGCUAACAAUGCAAUAAUCUAAUCAUUCAAACUCUUCUAAUUUAAACACAAUAACAUUAAAUAGAAAUAGGGAUCACCUAUUUUCAAGGUUUUUAUCCCUAUUCCAUGAAUUCACGCUAUAUACGAUACACAUAUAGCUCUUAUAGUUUAAUCCCAUGGUUAUAUCACACUCCAGACUAAUAUUAUCAGUAUUUAACCUCUUAACAGAAUUCGCAUCAUUCCCAUCAGGAAGUUUGAGCUAAUUUCUCCAAAACUUCAUUUAAAGGCAGGCAUAUAUAAUAUAUAUAUAGUAUAUGAUAAAAUAUAUAUUAGACAUGGAUAUGCUAUAUUGUUUAUAAUCUCUAGCUUUUCUAAUACUACUACGAUACAACCUUUCAUCCAUAUAAAACCCUGCUCAUAGUAGUUAGAAACAACACAGCCUUAAUUAAGAUCUCAACCAACUUAAGUUCUUGUUCAAUUCUAACAAUAAAUUUCAUAGGCAUAUCUUUCCAACAUAUAGCUAUAAGAUUUGCUCAUCGGUGAUAUAAGCGUCUAAAAGCUAAUUAUCCAUUUGUUCAACUCAUUCUAGAGUAGAUAACAUGCACCUAAUUAAGAGAUAUUCUAAUUCAUAACCUCAUUCUUUCAUUUCUAGCUGAAUUCCUGCUCAACAGCCUCUUCUCAUCUCACAUAUCCAAAUUCAACUAAAACUCUUCUUCAAAAAACCAUUCUAGUGCUUUAGAGAAAGAGAGAAGAAAAAGCUAAAAAAAAGGUGAGAAGAUAGCUCCGCAUACUAUUGAACGCGCGGUUUGUUGGCUGUAGAUAGACUAAGAAAAACUGCAAUUACGCCCCUCCACAACUGCUGCAACUGCAGUUUUCACCAAAACAGUCCGCUGCAGUUUACGAAACAGUCCUUGCAGUUUACAAACAGUCCCCGCCUACGCGAGCCGGCAGCCUUGGCAGCCGCAUUUCUCACUUCUACUCGCUCCGAUUCAUCCCAUACACUUCAAAACAUGCUAAUCUUCUAUGCCCAAACACUCAAAUAAUUGAAGCAUUUAAUUUCAAUUUUGUAUUAAUUUGAUCAUUUGACUAAAUGCGACUAAAAAUUUCAGCUUUUUGUAGCAAUAGCAAUUGAGUCUUUAGCCACUUCGAUUUCCAAUUCUGUGCUAUCUCUCAUAACUUAAAACAUGUCAAUUCUGUGCUCUACUAGCUAAUUAAGUUUAGAAAUACUUAAUUUCCAUUUUAGCUUAUUGCGACGCACUUUGAUCACGAAUUAGCUCGAGAUAAAUUGUCAAUCAAUUACAAUCUCCCCCCUUAAAACAGUUUCGUCCUCGAAACUUAAAUUCAUACCUUAGUCUUCCUCUUGAUCGAAUAGAUGGGGAUAGGAAUUUCACGCAUGAGCUUCUUCCAUUCCCACAAGUGCCUCCUCUCCUGAGUGAUUACUCGCAUUGUACUUUCACGUAGGGAAAUAGUGCGAUCGCAGUUCUCUGCGUUCUCGAUCAAGGGAUGCAUACUGGUAUCUCAUAAGUCAUAUCCUCUUGUAAAAUACUACCCAGGCUCGUACUCCAUAAAUGCCUGAAGUGCACAUAUUUUCGAGGAGAAUUCCGAAACAUGAAAAUACAUGUGAAUCCCUCGAAGUUCGCGGUAGAGCCAAUCUAAUAAGCUACUGCCAACUCGCUCUAGGAUCUCGUAAGGUUCCAAUGUAUCGAGGACUAAGAUAUUCCUCAGAACAGACCAAAUCUCUUUAUCCGCGCGCAUGUGGUGAUACUUUCAACAACACCUUAUCGCCAACCGCAAACUCCAAAUCUUUCGGCGCUUAUUUGCAUAUCUGCUGUCUGUCGACUGAGACCGUCAGCAAUCUUUGCGACAGUAAGCGUACCCUUUCCUCCGCCUCCUCGGAGUACAAAUAGACGCAAGAACCAUUCUUCACCCACAUUCACUCCAAAUGGAUAGGGGAUCGACAUUUCUCCCAGUAGAGGGCUUUCAAAAACGGUGGCCAUUUUGCGAUACUUUCUUGAUAGCUGUUAUUAAGCAAAUUCAGCCAUUCGCCAAGGAAUCAUGCCAACUCCUCUAAGUCAGUACACAUGCCGUAGCAUGUCUCCAAAAUCUGGAUCGUCCUCUCAAGACUGUCGCAUCGUCUGAGGAUGAGCUUUACUAAAGUCAAGACGUGUGCCAAGAGGCAUCCUGUAAACUCCUCGCAGAAAGUAGAUGUAAACGCGCGGUCUCGAUCAGAACAAAUCGACGUCGGACCCGUGUAAUCUCAGAACAAUCAUCAUCGAGGUAUCACCUGGCCACUGUCCCUUCGGACCAAGUAACAUGAAUGCAACAGAAAUGCCCCCGAUUUCGUGUCAGUCGACAACAAUCACACCAAAUAGUGUCAUGUCCAGCCUGUGAUCGAGGUAAUCCAAAUAAUGAAAUUCCAUCGCAAUGUUCCCCCACUUCCAGACGGGGGUGUCGGCGGAAAGCUAAGCUCUGUAACUUUCCGCGCCGGGAAAUCUGGCGGCUCAAGCUUAACUGCUGACAAGUCAAACACUGCCGCUACAAAACUGUCGCAACAUCCUUCUUCAUUCCAGGGCCACCAAUAAUGUACUUUAAAGAUCUUUGUACAUCUUUAGUGCCACCUUGAUGUACACUAUAGGUGACUGAUGAGCUUCCUAGUAUAUAGCCGCUCUGAACCUCCUCGUCUUAGGGUAUCGCACAUCGCGGUUGCGAAGCCGUAGGGCACGGUCAAUCCCACAUAAACUCAAUCCCCUCGCACCGCUCUCAACUUACACCACACUUUUUGAGGAUACGGAUCUAGAGGAUUGCCGAUCUUUAUCCAAGUCGCAACAAGUUCGGUUGAAACAACUAGAGCGCCAAGAACAGCUGUACUAUUCUGAGCUACUAGCCUCAAGAUCGAACCGCCGCAUUUCAUUCUGCAACGAACGGUUUUGAUGUGUGAUCACCAUAGCCAACGUUCUCACUGGACUUCCCUACUCAAUGCAUACAGCAACCACAAUUCGUCAUUUCCUGGGUGGUAUAGAAUAUAACAUCAUAAUCUUUUCACAAUUCUAACCACCGCGUUGUCGCAUAUUCAGCUCUUUCUGGUGAAUAAAUACUAUCAGGCUCCGUUGUGAUCUGUAAUAGAUUUCACAAUGUUCGGCCAUAUAGAUAUUCUCCAACUCAAAGUGCGCAGAUCACCGCGCAUUCCAAAUCAGAAUAGGAUAAUUCUUUUCAUAGUUCUUCAACUGGCGAGAACGCAUAAUCCAAUCACUGCGACCACUCUGCAUAACUACACCCCAAGUCCAUUGUAGGAACAUCACUGUAGACCACAAAACUCUCCCUGAAAUGGCAAGCCCAGAAUAGGAGUCGAAGUCAAACGCUUUCUUUCAAGCAUCCUAAAGCUACAUCACAAUCUUCCUCCAAACAUAUUAGUUCCUUUUAUUGUAAAGGGCGUUAAUGGAGUAGUAAUCUUCGCAAACCCCCCACCUGAACAGCGCUAUAGUAAUCCCGCGAGUCCAAGAAACUGGGGGGCGGAUGCUCUGGCAACAGUCGUCGGGCGAGGCCAAUCUUUAAUGCCUUUACUUUCUUUGGGGUCAACAGCUACACCGACCUGCAAAAUCACAUGCCGCCAAAGUAUGCGACCUCUGCAGCCAAAUUCACAUUUCUUCAAUUUAGGUGGCAUCUAACUGUUUGCUCCGAAGAUUUGGCAUCACUGUCUCAAGUGUUUUCCGGCUCCUCAUUACUUUUCGAGAAAAAUCAGGAUAUCAUCUAUAAAUACCACUACAACAUCUGAUCCAAUACGCGCUUAAAGAUCCUGUUCAUACAGAUCCAUGAAUGCUGCAGGGCAUUGUCAGCCAAACGGCAUCACUUGUACAACUCGUAAUGACCCAUAACGAGUGCGGAACGCGUCUUGUGCAACAUCUCUGGUUUGAUCUUCAGUGGUGGUACCCAUUGAAGAUCAAUCUUCGAAUCCUCGUGAACAAUUGCAAACUGAUCAAUAAAAUAUCGAUUCGCCGCAAGGAUAUUUUAUUCUUGAUUGUGAUCUUGUCAGUUACGAUAAUCAACACCAGUCGACGAGCUCCGUCUUUCUCUUACAAACAGAACUGGUGGCUGCCCACGGUGAUACACUGGCUUCACAAAGCCUUUAUCCAUCAAGUCUGUAACUGAGCUUUCAAACUCUCUCACUCAGCAGGUGCCAUUCUGUACGGAGCCUUCGAAAUGGCGCCGUUCCGGAACCAAGUCAAUAUACCGAACUCAUUUCCCCGAUCCGGCGGCAACCGCCGUAAUCCAGGAAAUACAUCAGGAAACUGCCGAACGCACUGAAUAUCACCUCACGUGCUGGAAAGUUCUUUUGAGUCCUGCACUACAAGUCGCGCAAAUAAGCCGCACAUCCACUACUGAAUCUAACUUUCUUGCUCUCGUGCGACGAGACAGUAGUGCCAAAGAGCGAAACUCUGCAUCGCUCGAUAUACAACUUCUUUGCCUCGGUUCAGGUCACAAAGGUAAUAAUUUUACUUUCACAAUUAAUCGUGGCAUAGUACUUUGCAAGCCAAUCCAUUCCCAAGGAUGCACAUCAAUGCUUUCAUGGCGGCUAACACAACAGAUCGCUGGCAUAAUCCAAUCACCAUCUGUACUGGACAAUGCGCACACACUUCGUGACACUAAAUGUUUGCUCAGGGCAUAUACGCACCAGGCAUACAGCACAUCCGAAAUCUUCAGUCAUGCGUCUUAGCAAAUGAGCUACUGAUGAAUGAAUGCGAUGCACGCGUGUCAAAUAUGCACGAGAUCUAGUGCCAUUAAAGAAAACAAGUACCUGCCACGACGUCCUCAACUAACGGCGCGGCUCCUCACCUGGGCUUGCAAAAUACACGACCACUCGGUGCAGAUCGAGGUGUGUCCAUACGGGUACUCGGGUGCAGAUCGAGUUGGGCUCGACUGACCGGCAAACAAAAGUACGUCCAGACUGACAUAGGCAGGCGGUAGACCAGAACGCUGUCUUGAGGGUGACUGGAACUGAAGCUGGUGGACUGUGCAGGUGAUCUCCCCUCGGCAAUCACGAAUCAUAUGUCCGCGUGCUGACGCACACUUGAAACAUUUACCUUCCCGCUGUGGACAAGCCAUCGGUCGACCUGAUUCUCCGCCGCAUACACAACAUACUCGGGGGUCCCUCGACUACCCCGACUUGAGACCCUGGAUGCCGACGGCGCGGCCGUUUCGGCAGUCGACUGUCCGGCACCACUUGUGGUCCUCUUUUUUUCUUUUCUCUUUCUCGUUUCCCUUUCAAACGAUUGCGUUCAUUCACGCGCGAAUCGCAUUCCGCGCUCACCCGAAAGAGCUCGAUCUAUAAACCUUCCUCAAAAUUUUUAAAACUUUAGAGCAUUUGACUGUCCUGAAUAUGUCCGCUCGCCACCCCCGCUCAAAAACACCGCUCGAUCUCGAUCGUAUGAACAUCCCAGCAGCAGCAGUCACCAAAUAAGUAAAUUCCCGUUCGUACUUCUCUCCGCCGUACCGAACGGUCUUUCCCCUGUCUCAAUUGCGGAAAGUCUAUCUUUCAUUUUUCCUUUUAUCACUGUCGGAAGUACUCCAUAAAUAACAUCUCCCGCGAAACUCCUCCCAAUGACGCGGUGGUAAGUUUUCGGUGCCCAGGCUCUUCUUGCGCUUUGCCACCAAAUUCUGAGCAUUCUUGCUCAAGCAGUGUGCCGCCUAAAGAUACCUGUUAUCCCUUUCCAAAUGUAAAUUCCUCGGAAUAAGGCCUCAUCGUGUAUACCAUGUCUCUAUCAACCCCAGCGAACUGCUUCUUGCCAUCAAACAAUUAGGCGAUUAUAAAGCCGCAUAAAUGCCUCUAUGUACCUUUAUAAAUUCGCGCGCCUCAGUCCUCCAAUGCGGUUCAAAUCUAGAAUUAGAGGGCCCAGAAACCACGUGGAUGAACAGUCGGUCGAAACAGGAGCACGAUCGUUCGGCGACUUCAGAUACAGGUACAUCACGACUCCACAGGUAUUUUCGCGGUUGUUCGCCUGCCGACAUUAAAUCCUGUAGGCUCUUUAUAUGGCUGCCUCACUGUCUGCUGCAUAGGCCCCCCUAAUCGAGCGCACGAUCCUGAGCAGGCACUCCUGAACCUCAUUCAGAUCUCAUCGACUGCUCUGGCACCUCAGAAGGAUGCCGAGUGGAUCUCGUCGGCACGUCGCGGCUGGCAUUCUCCUUGAACACGAACUUUCAUAUUAUAAAACAAACCAAUUCAGUGCGAAAGCAAUCAAUCGCGUACUUAUACUCAACCCUUACUUUAUGUUGUUGGCCACUCAACAUAACUCUUUUGUUGGCAUAUAAUAAGCAAUUGAUCAGCACCCUAAUUAAUCAUUAGAGACUUACUAACACUAACUGCCAUUUGUUUUAGACCUUGCUAUCAUUAAUAUUCACUGACCACUUAACACCAUUCCUAGUCUCCAGGUUUCGCAAUUCUAAGUCCCCUAACUCAUCCUAGACUUUAAGCUAUCACUUGCUUCUGAUACCACUUAAAACUACGAACCCGCUAAUCCAGCCAAAUAUAAUCGCAUCGAUUCGGGGCCCGUGCACAGACCCCGACGACAGAACCUCCUCUGUCCGCCCAAAGGCUCACAACGGCGAGUACAUGUUAUAAAGAAAUAAAACAAUUCCCAGGACACACAUUUCAAUAUAACAUGGUUGUCAGCGAGGCAAGUCAACAAUCACAAGUAUAGUAAGCUAGUCUUAUACUGAAAAUCACUUGUAAUUUAAAUACUUCAGCACUGAACUAUAAACACUAAACAUUUAGUUAUUACAUGCCUUUAUAAGACAUUCAUUUACAUGUCUACACAUAACUAUGUAAAACUCACACUAUAACUCGGGUGUCAGCUAGCUAGCGGCGGGGCUGCUUACCACGAUCCCGGCCACACCGCUACGAGCACUGAACCUUGUAUGGUUAGGGUUAUGAGAAACCUACUGAAAUAAGUUCCCAGUCGGGUUCGACCUGUCGAAUUCUGCACGACAUCACCAACACAACUAGAUAUAACUACGCUUGUAGGCAAGAAAGUAAAACGAUAGUUUAAACGCAACUAUAAUAUUGUAACUACUAGCAAUGUGCCUUGUACAAAGCGUGAAAGAAAGCAUUAUAUAACAUAAAAUGUAAAUAUCAUUGCAUGCCUUUACUGAAUUAUCACAAUCUCAUUAGGUUACCUAAUUGGUACAAUAAUCCACAUGCAACUAUCCCAAAUAUUCGGAGAACGCAGACCAUGACCACGAUGAGGACUGUCAACUGGGAGACGCACCUCGCUGAUACACAGAUAAGAUGAAUACUAUGCCGAGGAGCUCACGUUCAAGGGAUGAGCGUACCUAUCUCUUGAACAAAGCGAAUUGUUGAGUAUGAACUUGACCUUUUUAGAGGAUUCAUACAAUAGACAAUCGUCAACACUUUGACUCCAGCUAACCUUUUAUGCUAAUUUCACAAUUUCAAUUCAAAUCUCUAUUAGUAAUGUCACCGCAGUUUGCUAUUGUUAUAGUCCGAUUACAUUUCAUUAGGGUUCUAUUAUCCACACAUCUAUUGUUCAUCAUAUGUUCAUGGUCUGAUUAUAAGCAUUCUGCAUAUCAAUAUCACUUACAUAAUAACAAUACCCUAAAUGCAUGAUUACAAUGUAAAAAUGGUCUCACUAAAUUAGCAUAGACAUAAAAUGGCGAUUCAAAGAUUUCGAUACACCACACACCUGUAGUGGUGUCCAGACUAGAAUCCUACUCUCGCAACUGUGCCAACUAACAAAUCAUCGCGACUCAACCAAUGCAAUUAAGGCCGAAUUGGCUUCUAACUUAAUGUAGUGCGUCGCCGACGGCUGUCGAAUUGCUCAAUUUAGACUUUGCGAAGCAGUUAACUUUCAAUUUAUAAAGAAUAAAAGAGAUUAAAACUUAUGUUCAUAUCCAAUUCUAACAAACUAAAAAUUCACUUUAACUACAUAUAUAUAGUAUAGUGUUAAGGCCUCUAUACAUAUCCUCUUUUAUUCCCAUAUAUAAACAGCAGUUUAUUUUAUUCUAAUGCAGAACUUCAAGCCUACUUAAUUCCAAUUCUAUUUUCAACACUAAGCACUAUAUACAUCUACAUACUAUAUACAUGUAAACAAUAUACAUUUAUAUGUACAACUUGUUACAUUCCACCACCUAUAUUAUAUAGAACUUUAUAUAUCCAAUUAACUACUUUCACCCCAAACUAGUCCAACUUGACAUCAACAUAGGCAUUCUCUGGAUUCAUACAUCAAAUAGACAUUAGCAACCUAGAAAUUCUGAAGUUAGACAUUUUGCUCUACGGUUUCACAUGCACUUAGAGGCUUAACAAUCAUAAUCUAUCAUUCAAUACUCUUCCUAAUUUUAAACAUAAACAAUAACAAUUAAAUAAGGAAAUAGAAUCAACCUAUUUCAGUUUUUAUCCCUAUUCCAUAAUUCACCUAUAUACUAUACUACAACAUUUAUAUUUAAUGCCAUGGUUAUAAAAUUAUGGCAUAAUUUAACCUUCUUAUCAGCAAUAGCAUCAUUGCCAUUCAGGAAUUUGAGCUAAUUAAAAACUCCAAACUUCAUUCUUAUAAGCUAGGCAUAUAUAUAAUAUAUAUAAUAUAGUAUAUAUAUACUAUAUAUAUAUAUACAAUAUGCUAUAUUUUUUUAUAAUCUCUAGAUAUCAAUAUAAAACCCUCUCAUAGGUAGUUUAGUAACAAACGCCUUAUAUUAAGAUCUCAACGACUUAAGUCUUGUUCAUAUUUCUAACCAAUAAUUCAUAUGCAUUCUUUUCCAACAUAUAGCUUAUUAGAAGAUUUGCUCAUCGGAAUAUAAGCUCUAAAAAAAAGCUAAUUAUCCCAUAUUGUUAACUCAUUCUAACAAUUAAGAAUAUUCUAAUUCAUACCUCAAUUCUUUCUUUCUAGCUAAUUCCUGCUCACCUAGCCCUCUCAAACACAAAUCACUAAACCUUCUUCAAAAAACCAUUCUAGUGCUUUAAAGAAAGAGAGGAAGAAAAAGCUAAAAAAAGAGGUUGAGAAGAAAGCUCCCAUACGUAUGAAGCUGCCGGCUUGUUGGCUGUAGAUAAGACUAAGAAAAAAUGGCAAUUACCCCAGCCCUCCACAAUGCUAAAGCAUACUGCAGUUUUCACCCAAAACAGAUCCCUGCAGUUACGAAACAGUCGCUUGCAGCUUUACAAAACAGUCCCGCUAGCAGCCGCAGGCCUUGCUAGCCCAUUCUCACUUCUAGCCUCGCCCGAUUUCAAUCCGCAACACUUCUAAAACAGCUAAAUCUCAUGCCCAACUACAAUUUAAUUGGAAGCAUUUAAUUUUCAAUUUUGUAUUAAUUUGAAUCAUUUUGACUAAAUCGACUAAAAUUUCAGCUUUUUUAGCAAUAGGCAAUUGGAGGUCUUAGCCACUUCGAAUUCCAUUCGUGUCUAUCUCAUCACUUUAAAAACAUGUCAAUGCUGUUCCAGCUAUAAUUAAGUUUAGAAAUACUUAAAUUUCCAUUUUAGCAUUAUUGGCGACCACGAUUUGAUCACAAUAAGCUCGAGAUAAAUUUUCCAGAAAUGCAUUACAAUCUCCCCUCUUAACAGUUUCGUCCUCGAAACUUAAAUCAUACCUUAGUCCUGCUGAUCGAAUAGAUGGGAUAGGAUUCAAGGCCAUAGCUUUUCCAAGUACCAAUUGGCCUCUCUCCUGAGUGAUUACUCCAUUGUACUUUCACGUAGGAAUAGUGCGAUUUCGCAUUUCGCGUUUCUCGGAUCAGGAUGCAUACUGGAUACUCUUCAUAAGUCAAUCCUCUUGUAAAUCUUAGCAGGCUCGUACUCCAUCCAGCCCAACAUGCCCUGAAUGGUGGCACAUAUUUUCGGAGAUUCGAAACAUGAAAUACAUUGUGAAUUCCCGUCAGAAGUUGCGCGUAGAGCGCCAAUCUAUAAGCUACUGCUCCAACUCGCCUCUAGAUCCGUAAGGUCGGCAAUGUAUGCGAGGACUAAGCUUUCCAUGCGAACAACCAAAUCUCUUUAUCCCGCGCAUUGGGAUACUUUCAGAACACCUUAUCGCCACACGCAAUCCAAAUUCUUUCGGCGCUUAUUUGCAUAACUCUGCUGUCGUGACUACCGUCAGCCAAUCUUGGGCGGACUAGGCGACCUUUUCCUCCGGCUCUCUGGAGUACAUCAGGACCAAGAACCAUCUUUCACCCACUUCACUCCACAUGGAUAGGGAUCGAAUUUCUCUUCCGUAGAGGGCUUCAAACGGUGCCAUUGCGAUGCUUUCCUGAUAACUAUUAUUAUAUGCAAACUCAGCCAUCGCUAAGGAAUCAUGCCAACUCCCGCUAAAGUCAAGUACACAUGCCCGUAACAUGUCCUCGAAUAUCUGAAUCGUCCUCUCAGACUGUCCAUCGGUCUGAGGAUGAAAAGCUGUACUAAAGUCAAGACGUGUGCCAAGAGCAUCCUGUAAACUCCUCCAGAAGUGAGAUGUAAACCGCGGAUCUCGAUCAGAUACAAUCGACGUCGGGACUCCGUGUAAUCUCACGAUCUCGUCGAGAUACACCUGUGCUAACUUGUCUCCUGACCAAGUAGCAUGAAUCGGCAAGAAAUGCGCCGAUUUCGUCAGUCGAUCAACAAUCACCCAGAUGGUAUCAUGUCCAGCCUGUGAUCGAGAUAAUCCAACAAUGAAAUCCAUCGCAAUGUUCUCCCACUUCCAGACUGGAAUAGGCAAGCUCUGUAACUUCCCCGCAAGAAAUCUACGCUCAGCUUUCACUUGCUGACACGUUAAGCACUGUGCUACAAACUGUCCAACAUCCUUCUUCAUUCCAGGCCACCAAUAAUGCACUUUAAGAUCUUUGUACAUCUUAGUGCCACCUGGAUGUACACUAUAAGGUGACUGAUGAGCUUCCUGUAGUACAGCCCUCUGAAUCUCUUCGUCUUUAGGCACACAUAACCGGUUUCGAAACCGAAGUGCUCCGUCAGAUCCCACUGUAAAAUCAUCCCCUUGCCCGCUCUCAACUUCACCCCGCACCUUUUGGAGAUUCGGAUCCAAAGAUUGCCGCUCUUUAAUCCUUUCCAAUAAAGUCGGUUGAACAACUAGGGCGGCAAGAAUAGCUGGUACAUUUGGAGCUACUACCUCAAGAUCAAACCGUCGCAUUUCCUUCCACAAUGACGGUUGGUGGGUGAUCAUCAUAGCUAAAUUCUCUACUGACUUUCUACUCAGGGCAUCAGCAACCACAUUCGCUUUUCCCGGGUGGUAUAAAAUAUUAACAUCAUAAUCUUUCAACAAUUCUAACCACCGGCGUUGUCGCAUAUUCAGCUCUUUCUGGGUGAAUAAAUACUUCAGACUCUUGUGAUCUGUAUAAACUUCACAAUGCUCGCCAUAAAGGUAAUGUCUCCACAACUUCAGUGCGAAGAUCACCGCCGCCAAUUCCAGAUCAUGAAUAGGAUAACUCUUUUCAUAGUUCUUCAACUGGCGAGACGCAUAAGCAAUCACUCGACCACUCUGCAUAAGUACACACCCAAGUCCACUGUAGGAAGCGUCACUAUAGAUCACAAAACUCUCCCCCGAAAUCGGCAAGGCAAGAAUAGGAGUCGAAGUCAACCUUUCUUUCAACUCCCUAAAGCUACGAUCACAUUCUUCGCUCCAAACAUAUUUAGUUCCUUUAUGUGUAAGGCGCGUUAAUGGAGUAGUAAUCUUCGCAAACCCCUCCACGAACCGCCUAUAGUAUCCCGCGAGUCCAAGGAAACUGCGGAUCUCUGGCACAGUCGUCGGGCGAGGCCAAUCUUUAAUUGCCUCUACUUUCUUUGGGUCAACAGCUACACCACCCUCAGAAAUCACAUGCCCCAAAAAUGCGACCUCUCGCAGCCAAAAUUCACAUUUCUUCAAUUUGGCAUAUAACUGUUUCUCCCGAAGAAUUUGCAUCACUGUUCUCAAGUGUUCUUCGUGCUCCUCAUUACUUCGAGAAAAGAUCAGGAUAUCAUCUAUAAAUACCACUACACACUGAUCCAAUAGCGGCUUAAAGAUCCUGUUCAUCAGAUCCAUGAAUGCUGCAGGGGCAUUGGUCAGCCCAAACGGCAUCACUGUAAACUCGUAAUGACCAUAACGAGUGCGGAACGCUGUCUUGUGCACAUCUUCUGGUUUGAUCUUCAGUUGGUGGUAACCCGAUUGAAGAUCAAUCUUCGAAUACACUCGUGAACCUUGCAACUGAUCAAAUAAAUCAUCGAUUCGCGGCAAUGGAUAUUUAUUCUUGAUUGUGAUCUUGUUCAGUUCACGAUAAUCAACACACAGUCGAAGCGUUCCGUCUUUCUUCUUUACAAACAGAACUGGGGCUCCCCACGGUGAUACACUAGGCUUCACAAAGCCUUUAUCCAUCAAGUCCUGUAACUGAGCUUUCAACUCUCUCAACUCAGCAGGUGCCAUUCUGUACGGAGCCUUCGAAAUGGGCGCCGUUCCGGGAACCAAGUCAAUAACGAACUCAAUUUCCCGAUUCGGCGGCAAUCCCGGUAACUCCGCAGGAAAUACAUCAGGAAACUCUCGAACCACUGGAAUAUCACUCAGUGCUGGAAGUUCCUUUUGAGUCUCCACUACAGUCGCCAAAUAGGCCGCACAUCCACUACUAAUCAACUUUCUCGCCCUCGUCGACGAUACAGUCAGUGCAAAGAGCGAACUCUUGCACGCUCGAUAUACAACUUCCUUCUGCCCGGGUUCACGAAAAGUAAUAACUUUACUUUCGCAAUCAAUCGUGGCAUAGUACUUUGUAAGCCAAUCCAUUCCAAGGAUCAUAUCAAAACCUUUCAUUUGCUUCAACACUAGUAAAUCAGCUGGCAUAAUCCAAUCUCCAAUCUGCACUGGACAUGCCGCACACUCCUCGUGAACACUAAAAGUGUGCUCAGGAGCAUAGACCUACCAAGCAUCUGGUCUAUCCGAAAUCUCAAUAUCAUGUGUUCUAGCAAAUGAACUACUAAUGAAGGAAUGAGAUGCACCAGUGUCAAAUAAUGCACAAGAUCUAAUACCAUAAAGCAAAACAAUACCUGCCACGACAUCGUCGACCACGGCAGGAUCCUCUGCCUGAGCUGCAAAUACACGUCCACUCGGUGCAGAUCGAGGUGUCUCCGUAUGGGUGCUCGAUGCAGGUCGGGGUGGCUCGUACUGACGCGGUACAAAAGAACGUCCAGCUGACAUAGCAGGCGGUAAACCAGAACGCUGUCUAGAGGGUGACUGGGCUGAAGCUGUCGACUGUGCAGAUGAUGCUCCUCUCGGGCAAUCCCGAAUCAUAUGUCCUGGCUGUCCACACUUAAAACAUUUACCUUCCCGCUGUGAACAAGCCGUCGCCCGAUGAUUCCCGCCGCAAAUCACACAUCUCUGCGGUCCCUGAUACCUCUGCUGUGGUCGUGGAUACCGAGGGGGCCGUUUAGAGCUCGACUGUCCCCCGGCACCACUAGUGGUCCUCUUUUUCCCUUUUUCCCUUUCUCGUUCUCUUUCAAACGAUUCGCGUUCAUCACGCGCAAUCGCAUUUCCACGUUCAAUCCAAAGGGCUCGAUCUAAAACUUCCUCAAAAGUUUUCAACUUCAGAGCAUUAACUGUCCUGAAUAUGUCAGGUCGCAACCCGCGCUCGAAGUACUCCGCCCGAUCUCGAUCUGUAUGAACCAUACCAGGCACACAGUUCACCAAAUGAGUAAAUUCCCGUUCGUACUCCCGUACCGAACGGUUCCCCUGUCUCAGCUUGCGGAAGUUUUCCUUCAUUUUCCUUUUAUCACUGUCGGGAAAGUACUCCAUAAAUAACAUCUCUCGAAACUCCUCCCAAGUAAGCGGUGGUAGAUAUGAUGCCCGCUUCUUCUUGGUCUUUUGCCACCAAAUCUGAGCAUCCUUCUCAAAACAGUGCGCUGCCAACGGAACCUUGUCCCUUUCCAAAGUGUAAAGGUCCUCAAACAAUGCCUCCAUCGCUGUAAACCAUGUCUCCAAUACCCACGGAUCUGCUUCUUUCCCGUCAAACAUAGGCGGAUUAAACCGCAUAAAUGUCUCGAGUACCUUUACAAAUCGCGCACGCUCAGCCUCUGUCGCAGUCACAUCAGAAUCAGAGGGCCCAGAAACCAUUGGAGGAACAAUCGGCGGAACAGGAGGCACGGUCGCCGGCGCCUCAGAUACAGGUACCUCACGACCCCCAGGUACUGCCGUUGUCGCCUGUCGCGACAUUAAAUCCUGUAUACUCUUUAUAUGCUCCUCCUGUCUCUGCAUAGCCCCGACUAAGGCGCUCACCUGAGCACGCAACUCCUGAACCUCAUCAGACCCAGACUGCUCUGGCACCUAAGAAAGGGAUGCCGGAGUGGAUCUCGUCGCACGUCGCGGUGGCAUUUCUCCUGAAACGAACCAUUUACAUUAGUAACACAAAACAAAUCAGGCGAAAGCAAUCAAGCGUAUUUAUACUCAACCUUAGCUUUAUGUUGUUGGCCACCAACAUAACUCUUUUUAGUUGCAUAUAAUUAACACUUGGAUCAGCCCCUAAUUAACAUUAGAGACUUACUAACAACUAACCCAAUUUGUUUAGCUUUCGCUAUCAAUAAAUUCACGCCACUCGCGUUCCUAGUCCCUAGGUUUCCAAUCCUAAGUCCCCAAGGUCAUCCUAGACUUUUACUAUCACUUGCUCUGAUACCACUUAAUCUGUCACGUCCCGCUAUCGCCAAUUUGGUCGAUCCGGCCCGUACACAGACGCCGGACGGACAGAACCUCCUCUGACCGCCCAAGGCUCAACAACAACGAGUACAUGUAUAAAGAAUUAAACAACUUCCAGAAUAACAUUUCAGUAUACAUGGCUUGCACGAGGGCAAGCAACAAACACAAGUGAUAGUAAACUAACUAUACAAUGAAAUUCACUGUAAUUUAAAACUUUACAUAACUGAAACAUUUAGUUAUUUACAAGCUCUUUAAUACAUUCAUUUACAUGUCUCUAUACAUCAAAAUGGAUGACAUAUGAACUCAAAAUGAUAACCACUAUACUCUGGUGUCAGCUAACUAAGCUGCAGGGCCCUUGCCUCGAUCCUCAGCUACAACACUUGCACUGGAACCUGUAUGGUUAGUGGUGUGAGAACUACAGAAAAGUUCUCAGUGGGUUCGGCCGCCGACCUCGCCGACUCACCCACUAGGUCUACUUAGGCAUAUGUAGGUAAGAAAAGUAAAGCAGAUAGUAACCAACUAUAUGUAACUACUACAAUGCCUGUACAAAGCUGAAAGAAAGCAAUAUAUGAAACUAUAAAUAUGCAUGCAUGCUUUCACUGAAUUUACCCAAUUCAUUUUGGUUAACCCUCUGGUUAACAAUUACUCACUGACGCUAUCCCAAAUAUCGGGGAGACGCACCUGCACCCGACGGGAUUGUCAACUGGGGGAGACGCACCUCCUGGUCCAGUAAAGAUGACUACUCCGGAGCUCAUCGUUCAAGGAGGAGCGACCUCACUUGAACCAAACAAAUGUGAGUAUGAUCUGAUCCUCCUUUAGAGGAUUCAACAAUAGACAAUGUCACACUUUAACUCUAACUAGCUCUUGAUGCUAGUUUCAUAAUUCCAAUGUCGAUGCUAACCAAAUCUCUAGUCAUAUGUCACCAAGUUCACUAUUAUUAUAGUCCAUACAUUCAUAGGGUUCUAUGUCCACAUUCUAAGGUUCACAAGUUCCUACUGUCGAUAGAAAUUCACAUUUUCACUUGCACAAUGCCAAUUACCCUAUAAUGCAUGACUAAACAAUUAUAAAUAUGCUCAAUGAAAUAUAAUAGACAUAAAAGGUGAUUCAAAGACUUCGGAUAGCACCACCCACCUGUAGGGAUGCUAACAAUUAGAACUCACGUCUCGGGCUGAAUCCACGAAGGUAUCACCCGACUAGAUGCAAAUAGAGCCCAAAUGGCUUCUAUCGUAGACAGCGCGUCGUCAACCUGUCGGAAGUCCAUUUAGACUUUCGGGUAUGAAUAACUUUUAUAUGUACAGUAACGGAAGAAAUUAAACUAGAGUCCUCGCUCAUAUUCUACAAGUUGGCAUUUCCAAACUAUAGAAUGUUGAUCAAAGUUGAUUUCAGCACUAAACUGAAUUCUAGGCCAUGCUGAAUUUUCAGCAUUAUAUCUCUUCUUCGAAUAACUAUUUAACCUCGAAGCUCAGCUGAGCUAUGAUCAAUUUCCAUGCUAAGUUAAUGUUGAAAUCAACUUCUUUUACCAUCAUUUCAGCAUAUACCAAUUAGCUCACUCUUAGUUCCAAUACUUAACAGAUUUCUAUAUUGAAAUCUGCUUCUUAUCAGCUCUAGACAGCAUAUAGUUCUCAACUUAAUUCAUUUUAAGUAAUUAGUUGGACUAUAAUCCAAUAAGGAAUAAACUUACUCUAACUUGCUGCUGAAUCAACUUGUUCCACGCAUCAAUUGGCCUUCUCUUCACUUCGGCCAGCAAUGACAACAAGACUUCAGCUCCGAUAGCCUAAAGUCUUAAGUUUGCUACUCCUUGACUAUGAAGUGCUCUCAGCUUCACACAGCUCCAAUUAACACUCCUCAGCUUCACACAGCUGAUCCCUGGAUUCGAGUAGGCUCCAACAACCAAACUUCGGCUUCAAUCUGAAAUUCCAGCAGCAAAUACUCAUUCCUUCUAAUAAUUCAGUCUCUACUUAAAUUCUUGCAUAUAGACAUACUACAUGUAACUCGUUUCUAAGGUAAGGAGCUUCAUAAUAAUCUAAUAUGGACCUAACUUACCUCAAUUCCAAACUCUCUCAGCUGAUUUCACAAACUUGGCAGCACUAACAAGCGCCCACGUCACUUCGGCCCCUAGCAGCAGCUCAAAAACAUAUAAGUAUUACCUCCAAGGUAAUUUCCUUAAUUCUAAUCAAAUAUUAGACUAAGAAUACCUCAACCAGAUGUUGAAUUUGCUUGCUCCCUGCAUCGAAUGGCCCAUUCCUGCAUUUCGGAUCAGCAGGCUUCAACUUCAGCAACUUUCUAUUCCUAGCAGUCAACAUCCUUUGGUAACUCCUCUUGAAGGUAAGUAACUUGGGUAGAAUCAAAUAUCAACUGAGACUUACCUUAAUUUAGAAACUUCUUCUAAUUAAUUCCAGCUGUAAAAGCCUUCCCUGCUGUCCCCAACAGCAAGAAACACUCAACUUCAAUCAACUCAAGAACACCUAAGCUGUCAGCUACAUAAGGACUAUAUAAGUAUCCUCUCUACAUGAUUAACUGAGCUAGAAAGAAGUACUAGUCAUAUUUACCUUGAUUAGAUGCCUUCUAAGUCUUGUAGUAACUUCAAUCAGCAAAAGUUUCUUGCUGGAAUCAAGUUUUCUUCUCAGCUCACAAAUCAUUCAAGCUGUUACUUCAACUUCUCCUUUUCUUAGCUUAGACAGAGAGAAGGAGCAGAGAAAAAAAUGAUAAGUAUGAAGGGAAAUGAACUCUCUGCCCCUGGACAUGUGUAUUCCACUCAGGGGAAAGGGAUAAGAGUGAAAAUUUGCACUUUAACCCUUUAAUUUCCAAAAACUGCAUUGCAGUCCAGGGUAGCCGCAAUUCUGUACCGGUACAGAUUCUUGUACCGGUACAAGAUGGCAGCAGCAGCAUCAGCAGCAGCAGCAUCAGCAGCUGCUUCACCCCCUCCUUCCUCUAAUCCAAUUCAUUCUAAUCUCAUUCAAACACCUCAAAAACAUUCCAAAUGAGCUUCUCAAGCUACCCAAUUAAUUUGGAAGCAUUAAAUUCUCCAUUUAACAUUAACUUGAUCAUUUUUUAUCAAGUUAACUCAAUAUUUCAGCAGCAGGUGUUCAAUCUCUUGUUUCUCUCAUGUAAUUCACUUGGAUCUUAUUCGGACACAUCCAAAAUCAUCCAAAGAAGCUUUCCAAGCCAUCAAGUUCAUUUGGAAGCAAUUCACAUCAAAUUUGGCAUCAAUUGGACCAUUUUUGACUAAUUGACCCAAAUUUUCAGCAUUAAGUAGGGUACUGUAAUGUGCUGCGGUCCGGCGGCCACGGCCCACAUUUUGCCCGGGGCGAAACGGGCCGCGGCCAGCCCGGCACGGCCCGGCUCCAAAAUCGGGCGUGCGUGCCGGCCAGACGUUUUGGACGCCGGCCUACGCGGGCCCCCCGGCCCGACCUGCACGGGGCCGUGCCGGCCCCGGGCACGGGCUUCGGCGCCAGCAGCUUUUUUAUUUUUAUUAAUUUUAUUUAUAAAUAUUUAAAUUCUUUUUAAAAAUAAAAUAAGAAUAUUAAUUUUUUAAAAAUAAAUAUCAGUACAAAAUUAAAAUUUAAAUCUAUUUAUAAAAUAUUAAACUUUUAAAUUAUUUUCACUUUUAAAAAUUUGGACCAAAAUACCCUCCCAAGCAGUCAAAUUCUUUAACUGUUUGGGAACGGGAAAAAAAACAAACCCCAUUUUUUAGUCCAAGCCCACUCCCAAUGCCACAGCCCAACUCUUUGACUUGUUGGGAGUCCCAAAGCCACAACCGCGCAUGGGAUUGGAGCUCCCAAGCAUUGGAGUUGUGCGCCUUGGAGUUGGAUGUACGCCAACUCCGCAAGGCCCUGCGACUCUGCUGGGCCCGGCUCGGAGGAGCCUGGCCACGGGCCGGCCUGCCGGCCGGGCCGGGCUGGACAGUCUAGGCCCGCACGGCCCAGGCGCUAUGUCGUGGCCGGCCGUGCCGGGCCAUCGGGCGCGGGGAGCAAGCCCAGCACGGCCUGAUAAACCUGGCGCGCCGGGCCGCAGCGGCACGUUACAGUACUCUUGCCGUGGCCUGGCCCGGCCACUCUCCGUGCCGGGCCGGGCGGCCGCGGCCGCCCGCCCGUUUGACACCCUAGAUUAAGGUAACUUGACAGUUGGACUUCUUUUGCCACUUCGAUCCAUUCUUAUUAUUCCCACACUUCAAAAUAUGUCAACAACUGAUACAUCGAUGAACUGCUAAUUAAAGUUUAAAUAGGCUUAAUUUGCAUUUUAGCAUUAUUGUGACCAUUUGAUCACAAUUAGCUCGAGAUAAAUUCUCAAUGCAUUUACAAUAAUAUAUAUAUAUAUAUGAUAUAUAUAUAAGUAUAUUAUAUAUUAUAUAUAUAUAUAAAUAUAUAUAUAUAAUAUAAUAUAUAUAUAUAAAUUACCUAUACAUUAAUUAUCAUGAUAAAAACUAUAUGUACCACUCCCUUUAAUUUGAGGAGGAGUGAGGCCCACUUUUUUCUUUUUUCUUUUUUUUUUUUUUACUUUUUCUCCUUUUCUUUAGAUUUACUAGGCCUAAAGAGUUUUUUUUCUCCCUUUUCUUUACCUUUUGGUCUUCCACCCUCUCGCUUAAAUUUGCAAAUUCGAAUUUUGUUAUGUUUCAAUUCGGAGUCAAUUAUUGAUUAAAAGUGAUAUAUAUAUAAUUUAUAUAUAUAUAUAUAUAUAUAUAUAUAUAUAUAUAUAUAAUAUAAUAUAUAUAUAUAUAUUCGGUUGCCGACAGACACUUUUCCGGCAUCCGGCACCUCCGGCCACCUCCCGUUGGUGGGCACAACAUCUCUGAGCAUCUGUGCUGGUCCGUACUCCCCCAAAUUUCAGGUAUCUGUGUCCUGAACUGCUGUUUGCAUCAGUGCCCGCCAUGUGUUCGGUAAAUUGACCAUUUCUUGUUUUGGCUUUAUGGUCGAAAAUGGGAGUUCUUAGGAGCGUUGCAAUCGUGAGGAAAUUCCCUACACGAUGCUCACCUUGUUGACGUGAUUCUUACGCUCGGUGGAAGCCCGAACCUACGAUGUACUCGAAAUCGGCUCCGCGCGGCCAAUUUUCGCUCUCCGACGGUCGGCGAUCAUUUGGGUGAAUACUUUGUGGGUUCGCUGCAGCCAGAGGAGUGCUGACAAACCCCGUGAACUGCUGCUCCACUUCAGAUUGUGGAAGUUUGGUAAAUUGUUCAAAAUCUCCUUUUUAUUACUUUAUUGCGUGCUAUGUGCGGUGACAUUAUGUAUGCGGCUUUUCGACGUUUUUCACGUCGCGUAGAGUGUUGAACAGUGGUGUUUAGUAGACGUGGUUAUUCGGACUUGUGGUCCGAGGUUCUAAAACCGUAUUUAUUUUAAAAUUAGGAUACAAAAUUAAUUCGUAUUAUACCUGUACCGAAUUUUUGCCGAACCCGAAUUAACUAACUAUGGUUUAUAGUUGCAUUGUUGCUAAUGCUAGUUCAUAUUCAUACGAGCCUACUAGUAUAUAUUAUUUUUCGAACAAUAUCUGAAUAUGCAUCUGCGUCAUAUAUGAAUUCGAAAAAAUAUCCGACCAUGUCUAAAAUACUAUAUAUAAUAAAUUAAUAUAUAUUUAUAAAUAAAUAUAUAUAUAUAUAUAAAUAUAUAUAUAUAUAUAUAUAUAUAUAGGCCAUGGCUACUAUACUAUUAUGAGUAUUGGAGCGCUCGUACUCAUAAGUUGUUUUCAAUGAUGGAGCUUCCAAAUCGACAAUCCACUCCGUUAAAUAUGAUCUAGAGUAUUUGAAACUUUUAGAAAAUAACUUUCGUAAAUUUUCGAAAUCAUAAUAAAGUCCAUCAAGUGGGCAUAAAAUGAACGGUCAAAAUCGAACGACGUCCCAAACAAAGAUGAUCGGAUCCUUUAAUUCAAGAUCGGAGUUAUUGAUCUUUAUCUAUGUAGUGAAUAGAAUUUUCUAUCAAAAAUUCAACAAAUUCCGAUUCUUUUACACCGUUAAACUAGCAAGUAUCCCAUACCGGCCGUUAAAAAUUGUCAAAUUUGUGACCUCUUGAUCGUAAGAUAAAUGAUGUCGAAAAAUUAUAAAAUUUGAUUUCUAGAAGUUUUAAAUGCUGUAAAUAACGUUUAACGGUGUGGAUCGUCGAUUCGGAAGCUCUAUCACCGAAAACAACUUAUGAGUAUGAGGGCGGAAAACGAAAACUCGAUUUUUUUUUUUUUUUUUUUCAAAAUCUGUAAAAUAACUUUUCCAAAAAAAAAUUUGCGGACAACCAAACAUUUGAAAAAAAAAUUUCAACCCCUCCGAAAUUUUUUUUGGAGGGGUUUUACAGGGAUCCAAACGCACCCUUAGCCAUUAAGCUUCAACCUAAAACCCUAAUCUUAAUCAACUAUUGCUCUAAACCCUAAUAAGCCUUCUUCUCCAAAACCCUGAUCUUAUUAGACAAUUGCUCUGAACUCUGCUCUUCUUGGUUUACUUCUCUCAAUUUGUUAGGCUCUCUCUCCCAUGAGGUGAAAAUGCCCUCGGUUCCCAAUAAUGUUUCCACCCAAAAUCAGCAGAGUGGUGGGGGAAGGAAAACUCAGGACGAUCGCCGAAAUCAACAAUCGUCAGCUUGGUACCAGUUUCUCGGACUUUUUUUUUAACUCUUUAAUUCUUGAUGUCGUUAGUUUUGUCGAUUGAUUUUGAUUGAAUUUUUGUGCGGAUUUCAUUGUUAGGAGGCAGUGGAUUCUACAGCAGAGGAAGUCCUUACCAGUCGCUUCAGGUUUGAUUUUUUAUCGUGAAUUUUCUUUAUGUUUUUAAGAUUUGAAGCUUUUCGUAGAAUGUUGUGUGUUGUAUUUGAUGUGAGGACAAAGGGACUUUUAUUUUCUUUGUUAGCUGAUUUUUUUGUUUGUCAUGGAUGGGUGUUUCAGUCGAGAAGUGGAUUGUGGAGGAAGUGAAGAAGAAUGACACUUUAAUUGUUGUUGGAGAAACCGGAAGUGGGAAGACGACGCGUGAGUUUGCAAUGAACUUUGCUUAUUGGUGUCCUCUGUUGUUGAAUGUUCAUAAUAUAACAAACUUUUGAUAUCUUGUUAGCGAGAAGUAGUAGCACUGACAAAUAGAAAAUGCAUUGGUAUUAUAUGUUUGAAGAACAAUUUUAUUGAUCAAUUUUGUGGUAUAGCUAUAUGUCCAUAAAUUAUUAUUUUCCUUGUUCUAGAAAUGCCUUAUCUCCAUUGACCUUUGAUGCUUAAUCUUGCCAGUUCUGGAUUCAUGAGCGAAGUUGGCUCCGUGGAUGCUGUUUUCACUAGGAUUUCUUCCCUAAUUAGCUUGUAUAUUUAAACUUUUUUAUCGUUGAAAAGGAUUGUACAUCAAAUUCCAUUCUUUAAUGGUGUUACACCUAACUCGACUGUUGGCCACCACUAUGACCAGAUUUUCUCCACCAAUUGUGGUUGACUGUUGACCUCCCUUGUAUUUAUGCUAUGGCUUAGUUUAUGGAAAGAUGUUAUUGUUCAUAUGCAGAUAGAAGUGUGAUAUGGUCAUUUUAAUAUUCCUGAUAUUUUGAUGACUAUAUACAUUAGCAAUGCCUCUCGCGCUACUAUCGUCAGAUGCUUGACAUUUUUAGAAUAGAAAUUGUCACUUAGAAAGGUGCAUGAACUUCAGAUUCACUAUAUUACACACUACAAGGAAAUGCCCAAUUUCAUUAUAUUAUUCAACUUAUUCUGAUUUCUUAGGAUUUUUAAUGAGCUAGCUUUCAUUUUGUCCUUAUGCAUUGUUUUGCAACUUCGCUAUGUUGAAAAAAUGCUUUACUAGUAGCCUGAUAUCUGCUUCCUUUUUGCUGCCUUCUAUUGUUUUCCUACUUCAGCGUUGUUUACUUUCUUGCACUGGCUCAUAUAUGUAUUUCUUGCAGAAUUGCCACAGUUUUUGUACAAUGCUGGAUUUUGUCAUGAUGGGAGAGUUAUUGGCAUCACACAGCCUCGUCGAGUUGCAGCUGUUACUGUUGCAAAGCGUGUGGCUGAAGAAUGCAAUGUUGAGUUGGGCCAGAAAGUUGGGUAUUCAAUUAGAUUUGAGGAUGUCACAUCUAGCAGUACAAGGAUUAAGUACAUGACAGAUGGUUUGCUUCUGAGGUAGUUUCAUUUGAUAAGUGGUUUUUGCAUUUUUAAUGAGUAUUACAAUGUUUUCUUGUUAUACGUCAUAGAGAACCGGUAAUUCUUUGAUGACAAACAUGUCGUGCUUGAGGCUAGUUUGGCUUUAAAUUUUUUGUAUUUAAUAAUCUUUUCUGUUGAUUCUUCUGAUCUUUUUAUUUCAGAUUUUACAAAAAAUUCUGAUUCCAACACAAGAAUAUAAAUUUGGUCUAGUUAUUAUAAUUGCGGCACGGAGAACAUUGUAGGCGACUUUAUGGUAGAAAAUCUAGUGCAUUAGUAAUGAUGUUUCUGGCAUGGUAGGGAUGUGAACGGACAGAAUAAAUAGUAUCAUACCCUGAUUAUUGGAUGGACUAUUUUAAUUAUUCAAUAUCAUGCCACCAGUUUGGGCAGGAGUAGACCGUUGGAACUUGAGUAGAAAAUACUUCAGGAAGGAGCAUAUGUAUUAAUUUAAAAUGUAUGAGAGUUCUCUUCGAUAUUUGUGAAAUGGUCAUAUUGAUGACAUUGCUCUUAUUUGACGGCGUCCAUGUCUAUGGCUGAUGAAACUCGAGCAUUUGACAUGGAUUUUGAUCUAACAUCUAGUUAUGCUUUUCUUUUCAUAUAAUGAGUAUUUUUGUGCUAUCUGACCUGAAUGCCUUAAUAUUUGCAGAGAAGCACUGCUGGACGCAUAUUUGUCUAAAUACAGCAUCAUAAUUGUGGAUGAAGCUCAUGAAAGAACAGUCCACACAGAUGUCUUGUUAGGCUUAUUGAAAAAUGUACAACUAGCUAGGUCAAAUUCUAUUGUUAAGCAACAUAAUUGUGGAGAUGUGGACAACAACACACAAAAUCACAACCAAACCUCCACUUUGCGGGCGUGUCAGGCUUUGAAGUAUACUCCUUUAAAAUUGAUUAUAAUGUCUGCCAGUUUGGAUGCUAGAGGUUUUUCAGAGUACUUUGGUGGUGCUAAAGCAGUUUACGUUCAAGGGCGACAAUACCCUGUAGAGAUUCUAUAUACAUAUCAACCAGAAAAAGAUUAUCCAGAUGCCACACUGAUUACUAUCUUUCAGGUUUAUUGACCUCUUAUUUACAUGGUGAUCUUACUUUCUUUUAUUAUGCUUUAAACUGCAAGCUAGACCAGGAAGUUUGCUGUCCUUCUCUUUUAUUUUCAAGAUAAAACUACUUCCUUAUCAAUGGAGGGAAAUGGGUUCUUUGAAGUUUCAUCCAUGUUGACGAAUAGAAUAACACCCAAUGCAAGCCAUCUUGAAAAACAUAGAAAAGGGCUCCAAUACGAAAAAAAGUGGGCACCUAUCUUACACACACUUAAACACACAAAAAAGAGAAAAAAGAAAAAAAGAAAAAAACUAGCUACCUUACAAAAAAAAAGAAAAAGAAAAAGAAAAAGAAACACAAUUUAUGAAAUCAAAUUAUCUUUCUAUUACCGACUGUCCCUAGCGCAAGUGGCAAAGGGCUUUGUGGUUGGUACCCGAGGUUCCAAGUUCGAAGCCUAGUUGCUUUACAUUUUCAACUAAGUUUAUUUCUAAAAAAAAUAAACGAAGCGGAUAGCACGUUGCCUUUCUCUCAAAAAAAAAAAAAACCUUUCUAUUUUCUUGAUGUUGUUUUUCGAGCUUUGGAUAUAUCCUUCCAUUUCAUGGUGUCUCCAUGAGCUGUUCAUGUGUCAUAUGGAAGCUGAUCUAUGAAAGUUAAUCUGUUAUUUAUAAGUAUUAUCUUUUAGUCUUAAGCUCAUGCUUGUAAUGUUUCUUUCUUUCUUAGAUCCACAUAGAGGAGGGGCCUGGAGAUAUUCUUGCAUUUCUAACUGGCCAAGAGGAGAUUGAAUCAAUGGAUAGACUUAUUCACGAGCGAGUUCGUCAACUCCCUGAAGGCAGUAAUAAAUUAAUCACUGCUCCUAUCCAUUCCUCUCUUCCUUCUGAGCAGCAAAUGAAUGUUUUCAAGCCUGCCCCAUCCGGCUUUCGCAAGGUAAGUCUAAUUGCUAUCACCAAAAAGAAAGAUUUUUCCCUUGAGCUUUGAUUUUACUCUGAAAUUUGUAUUAGUUUUUGUUUACUUAUGACAUGAAGUUACUAACGCUAUAUACUAAAUCUAGGGUUUAUUUAUGUCAUGACUUACUGACCUGAAAAACUGAAUCAAGAACUUAUAUAGUUUUGUAACAUUAUGGUAGCGUAGGUAUAUAUCUCGCUUUUGUUCUUUUUGUACUAACAGAAGCUAGUGAAGGAAAAAUUGUAGACUUCGUUUAGUUUAUAACAUUGUAGUAGUGUGAGCUUUAUCUGGUUUUAUCACUUUACAAUACCGCAGAGAAAAGAAACAAAAGAAACAAAAUGUUAGCAUUCCUAGCUAUACAGGGUUGCCUGUAUAAGCUAUUUAUUUUUACCUUGUAGAAGAUCUUUUUCCCAAACCAAGUGCUACCAAGCCUUUUCUUGUCACAUUUUGCUAUAUAAUCUUAUCCUUCUCCCUUCUCCCAAGACAACUAUCACUUCAAUUAAAAAAUAAAAUUAGAAGAUUGGAAUCAUUGGAUCAUGCAAGGGGAAUUUAUAUAUAGAACUCUGUUGGCUAUGUAAUACGGUAUCUUAUAAUUGAUUGUCAUGUAGAGUGAAAAUUAAAAGAAUGUCAAAUAGGAUGCUCUGAGGUUUUAGAGCUGAUGUAGCAUUUAUUACAUGUUUUCCUUUUCCUGUCAAAGUCAAGUGUGGGCCAAAUUUGUAGGCAAUGAAGAGUAAUUAGGGAAUAUUGAAGGGUUUGUCAUGCACUUUCUCUGUUUCCCUCUUAUUGUGCUUUCUUCCUCUUUGGUCUCACUUGAUUUGGAUAAUAAAAAAACUAGUGACACAUCAGAUGCAUAACUUAAAAAGUAAAGCAUCAAAUAGGCCAGAUUUCGUUCGGUUCGAUUGUACGUUAUCUUAUAUAGCAAACUAACCUAAUGCUUAAUUUCAGUAGAUUGGUUAUUCAUUCUAUGAAAGUCUCCAUGCACAGAUGGUAGGUCUAGUCUCCCAUUUGGUCAGAUGUGGUUUCUGCUGAUCCUCUUGGUUUUGAGGACCAAUAAACAUGACUUAAUAAUUUUGAUUUCUGAUUUUUAAAGCAGAGUCGAAUUGACAUAAAAACCUAUAUAAACAGAAGUUUGAAAAACUGAUGCUUUUGUAUGGUUCACAUGCACUUUCUAGAUUGUAGUUGCGGGCUCAAAUAUUUGUCAACGCCUCAAAGGUUGUGCAGAAAAAUUUCUCUCGGUUAAGGAAAAAAUUGAAACUUAAUAAAUUUAAAUUAAAUGAGAAAAGCCAAAUAAAUAAUUCAACACAAAUACUAAGCAUCAUAAAACAAAAAAAAGGGAUGCUGUUAAUAUGAUUUAUAACUUUAGAUUUGUAGUGACUAAAAUAUUAUAUGCAGUUAUAUUUGGAAGCUUGGUUUUGAUGUCUAAGCUGGGCUUCUGUUUAGUAUGCUAGGUUUCUUUUAUUGUGCUACAUCUUUUCCUUGGAUUAUCUUAUUUUCAUCUUGUUGUUGGUUUAUUUGUUUUGAAUUUGCAACUACAGGGGGUGUUUUCAUGAUUUUUGUGGCACUAAUUGUUUUAUUCGUUUCUUAGGUUAUUCUUGCAACAAAUAUUGCUGAGACUUCUGUAACAAUACCUGGUAUAAAGUAUGUCAUUGAUCCUGGAUGGGUGAAAGUUCGUUCUUACAACCCAGUGACAGGAAUGGAGUCAUUAACCAUCAGUGAAAUCUCAAAAGCACAGGCUCUUCAGAGGAGGUAAAAAUGUUAGGCAUUUUCAUGUUUUGACCUACAGGAUGAUGAUAAGAAUUUGGUUUCACCUAUUGGAUAUCACCAUUGUUCAUAAUGCGUUUUUUUGUCUAAUUCGGCUAAAUAUUGCUGUGCUAGAGUAAUCGUCUUAUGAUGUGCGUAUUUGUCAUGUGUCAUAUUUUUGCUUUAGGAACUGUUGAUUUUCAUGUUUUGUUAAUAUUUACAUUUUGGUUAUAACUAAAGAUGUUAGUAUUGUACUUAUUAGUUAAUAAUUAUAUGGAAGAGAGUGCUAAUUUGAUCGCCUUGAUUUCGUUUUUACUUGAAUGUGGGCAUGUUGUAGCCUGAUGCUAUCUUGAUUCGUGGAAACAAAGAUUUAUUUCUUGGUUAGAUCGACUUCAAAAAUCCUUCUUAGAGCCUUGAAUCUUGACCUGGCUAGUUGUUUAGCGUUUUCAUGUGAAUAGCAAUUUCUUGAUUUGUAUGGGGCGUUGGAUGUCAUCAAAUCAAUGCUAUUCACUAAUGAAUGAAUCCUCUAUCAAAAGAGGUUUUUCAUCCCUUUGACGUUGCCAAUUUACUAUUACAUUUUUGAAUAUGCCUCGUUCAUUACUCUACUGUCGGUAAUGAAAUUGUUUACCAAUUUACAUGUAUUCUUAUUGUUCUUUCAAAUUUUAUUGCUUCAAAACAUAAAAAAAUAGAGAUGCUAAAUGCCAUUGAAAUCCUUUUCAUGCUGUUGCUGAAAGCCUGUAUAUCAGUUGUCUAAAUUGUUGCAUAUGAUCUUGCAUGUGGUUUACUUGACCUGACCAGAAAGAUAAGUCAAUCUGUUUGUUUACUAACUUGCUUGAUAAAUGACUAGGAUAUGAAACUAAAUAUUUUCUUACCACACUUUGUUCGUGUUGCAUGUAGUGGUCGCGCUGGUCGGGAGGGCCCAGGGAAAUGUUUUCGGUUGUAUACAGAAAGUGCCUUUAGUGAACUGAAGGAUUCUACAGUUCCAGAGAUCAAAAGGUGCAACCUUGCGAAUGUUGUACUACAGCUCAAAGCCCUUGGGAUUGAUGAUAUAUUAGGGUUUGAUUUCAUGGAAAAGCCUUCAAGGUGAAUUCUGAUAUCUUUUUUAAGAUGUAUGUUGUCUAUGGCUUGGUUUUCUGAGGGGCUGAAGUCUUGGCUUGGUUUUCUGAAAGAAACACUCCCUUUUCACCAAAGUUGGAAAAUUAUUUCAGUCGUUCCAAUGCUUUUCCUUCUAAUGGAAAGACCUUCAAUUUCAUUAAUGGGAAAUUGAAUUUUAUCCAUUUUCUCUGCUGUUCUCCAGGCAAACUACCUUCUUACAUCAUGGGAAAAUGAAACUUUAUUAAAUUUAAUCACUUUCAUUAGAAUAAUAACCUUGUGGUCAGGAAGCUGCUUUACUUACACAUGGGAAGCUGCUUUUGAAUUACACAUUGUGUGCACGGAAGAAAACAAAAAUGUCCUUACUUUGGUCAAAUAUUGGAAAGCAUUCCUAAUUUGUUUGAGUGAUUUGUUCUGCUGAAUGUUUCUUGGAGGUCUAAUAAUUUCUUACGCUAGUUACCAAUAUGUUUGAUGUCUUAUUUGCAGGACAGCUAUAGUGAAAUCUCUGGAGCAGUUGCUCCUACAAGGGGCUCUGACGGAUGACUGCAAGCUGUCAGAUCCAGUUGGCCAUCAAAUGGCCAGGCUUCCUUUGGACCCUAUGUACUCUAAGGCACUCAUCGUGGCCAGCGAGUUCAAGUGCUUGGAAGAAAUGUUGAUAGCGGUUUCAAUGCUUUCUGUGGAAUCUAUUUUCUACUCUCCUCGUGAUAAGAUGGAAGAGGUAUGCACUAUAGUGCUGGAUAUAUUGACAAGCUGAGUCAUCUACUUGGGUGACUCAGUUUAGUCUAUUUAGCUUCUUUUUCUUACACUUUGGCUGGUGCCUUUGUAUUCUCGCUUUUACUUAUACUUUUAGCUUCAGGCACAAAUAGAAAAGAUUGAAGUUAUUGGUGCGGCAAGAAACUAAAAUGAGAUUCAAAGUCCUAAAAGAGAAGUUCUUAUUUGGAAUUUCUACUUCUUUUACAGACAGAAGCUACAUGUGUCAUUUUUAUGAAGUACUUCCUCUAGUAGUACAAUUUAAACAUUGAUGAGUGCUUCCUCUUGUAGUACAGUUUAAACAUCACUUCAUCGAAUAGUACUAUAUCCCUGCAAUACCACCAAAAAGACCGUUAUUUAAUAAUGCCCUAUGUAUCAUGGAUGCGGCUAUAAGCCUCGCUUAUCCGUAUCAGACACGUGUGUCCAUGUUGGACUCAUGUCCAAUGCUGACGUGCCAUGGAUGAGCGUGGAAUCCGAUGAGGACGCGUGACACGCGUCUAUGACGCAUCCCAUAAAAAAUAUAUUUUUUUAUUUUACUAUUUUAUGUGUAUAUUAUGUAAGAUGAUUAUAUUUUGGGUUUUUGAUGAAUGCUUACGAACUCUUUUUGGACGAUAUAAAUAAAUUAUGUAUGAUGGAGAAUUUCUUUCUUUAGUAUAUAUGAACUAUCAAUGUGAAUUUUACCAACUUUAAUUCGUAUGAGAAAUAUAACAAAUAUUUAGCAAAAUUAAUAUUUUAUAUAUAAUUAACAUAUAUUAUUAUUAAUGAUAUGGGGCUUUUGCUUAUAUUCCCCUUACUAUUAUUAAAAAUUUUCAAGUUUAACCCUCAAUAUCCAAAAUACCCUAGAGGGAAAGGAUAUAUUUGAAGGAAUUUUUUGAAAAGAAUAAGGGCAUUUUGGUUAUCUAGGGAUAAAUAUGAUAUAUUUGAACUUUUGAAAGGCAUAUUAGAUAUUAUCCCUAAUAAUAUUAUAGAUAUUAUUAGCUAUGUCCGUGUCGUGAGCGUGUCCUAAUUUUAAUUAAGUUGUUGAGUCAGCGUGACCGAGUUGUGUCGUGUCCCGUAUCUCGUAUCCGUGCUUGUAUCCGUGUCCUUGACGCCUAGAUAAUGCCUAACACGGCUGAAUCACAUAAACUGAAACUCUGGGAAACUAUUAUGGACACAUGUAUCCCAAUAUAUGUCUUGAAUCAUAUCCUGAUAUUGUACUUUUUUUACAUGAAACAAAGAAGAAUUAUAUGCAAUAAUCUUAUUUUAGUUUCAUUUGUCUUAUUUCUUGCAUAGGCAAAUGCUGCAAAGAAGAGAUUUUCAAGCCCCGAAGGGGACCAUAUUGCUUUGGUGAAUGUAUAUCGGGCAUCUGCGGAAUGCUUGGAGAAAAGAAACAAUGCAAAGAUGAAAGAGAAAGCGGUGGAAAAGGCUCUAAACAAAUGGUGCAGGGAGAACUUCAUCAACUACCGUGCUCUAAGGCAUGCUCGAGAUGUUCACAGGUUAGCUGCAUUAUUCUCGUCCUUAUUUUUGGUUACGAAGGGCUUACCCUUCUUGAUGUACUUGCAUCAGCGUUUCAUUUUCAUUCAAACAUUUGUCUUCAUUCAACUCAUGUAUCGGGAGAUAGUACUGUUUUGAAUGAGGGAAAAUUGGAGUAAAUAUUUGGCCAAAAUAAAUGCUUUGGGAGAUAUUUACCGAUUUGCUAGGCAAUUGUGGCCUUUGUGAUACCUGAAGAUGGGAGCAUCAAAAACCAACUUACCGAAGAAAUUCAAGUUAUUCAAAACUCAUUAGAUGUUAGAUUUGCAUAAUAGCUCGUUGUAAUACUUGGCAAAUGUUUUUUGGCGUUGUUGUCAUUCAUCUGAUAUUGUCAUCAGUUUAGUUCCUAAAGCUGAAAAUUGGACCUAUUUUUUCUUUUAUUUUCAAAUUUGGAGGAUGAUCCCUUUGCAUAACUUGUUUAUUCAUUUAUUUUUUUUUGUUUUAUCUUUUUGCAAUUUCACAGUCAAAUCAAAGGGCAUGUAGAGCAUAUGGGCCUUGUUCUGUCAUCAUGUGGGGAUGACAUGCUUCAAUUCCGCAGAUGCCUUACUGCCUCUUUCUUCCUCAAUGUAGCAAGGAGAGGACCAGAUAGAUCAUACAGGUUUGUUUUUAACCUACAAGUUAACUUAAGGAAAUUGAUGUAAAGCCACUGAAAGAGAGAAUAUUGUGGUCUACACACGUGGUCAAUUGUUUCUUGGUCGGCGGACUAGAUAUAUUAUAUAGGUUUGUUUUUAACACCAUAGAAGUAAAUGUAAGGAAAUUGAUGUAAGCCAAUGAAAGAGAAGUUUUUGGUCUUAGUCACCUGGUCAUUUGUUUCAUGAUCCAAUAAGCAUCUAGUCAAUCAACCCAAUAACAGCACAAACUAAUUGCAUUUCAAUAUUUGUUGCAUAUCCUGGGUAGAAUACGAAAUUACUUGAACUGAGGUAUAUUGCUCUGCGCCUUUAACAUAAGCAGUGGACACCCUAAGCUCACUUAAGUGCUUUCCUACGGUUGUUCAACUCCCAUUGAGACCAAACUUGGAAUUGUAUUCUCCCAAAGCAGCUGCUUUAAUGCUUUAUACUCCCACAAAAACUGUAAGUGCUAGGAAGCUCUACGCUUUCAAUGCUAUAGAAUGGCGGUGGAAACCUCUACUGGAAAAACUUCUCACCUGAUGAUUCUGAGGUGGAGGCUUCCCACUGUCAUUUCUCAGUGCCGGAAGAUCGGAGUUUGUUCCAAGUGCUUUUGAAUGUAUUGAGCACUGUAAAGCAUCAAAGUGUUUCCAAACUAGUCUGGACAGUUUAGCAGAAAUAUCAAUGCGGCUACCACAGAUAAUAGCCGCAGUGACUUUUCGUUUAGAAUGAAAAAGUAGCCAUGUUCGCUUCAUGGUCCGACUUAAUGGAAUUGAUGAAAGGAACGAUAACGAAACACUUAAAUUAGUGCAGUUGUUGAGUGCUUCAAUUUAAAAGUUGAGAACUUAAUUGAAAUUUACUUGCAUGCUCAUCUCAAUAGAACCAGUGCGUGAUUUCUCGAAUUAUGUAUUCUUGUUUAAUCAUUAAGAUUUAAGUAUGAAAGUUUCAUUGACUAUCUGAAGCCAUUUAAUUUCUGUUACAUGUAUGUAUAUGGUCUCUGUUGGCCUCACUCCCAAUGUUUUUCAGGACUACGGCUAGUGGUCAGAGCGUGCAUAUCCAUCCUUCUUCGGUAUUAUCUGAAAUAAAGCCAAAGCCGGAUUGCAUCAUCUUCAACGAAUUAGUUUACACAACUCAAAAUUAUGUCAGAAAUGUGACGAGGAUAGAUCCAUUGUGGUUGCCCGAACUAGCUCCUCAGUAUUAUGCUGCUGAAAGUUAAUCUUAUUAUGUUGUAUUUAUUUCCAUUGCCUCAAUACAACUUGGCAGCAUAGAUGUUUCUUCCUUUCCUUGUAUGAUAUAACAUUUUUGUAUCAUUAUUGAGUAAUUAUUUAAUGCAUCAUUGAUCUGGAUGUGAAAUGUGAAUUACAUUCAGCUGGAACGGGUUAAGUUGUUUAGUGCCAAGGGCAUAACUUAAUCCUUUACCAACUCACCCAAUUGAAGUUUUCGGACUAUUUUCAGCUGAUGAUUAAUCCUUUCUUCUUCUUCUUAUUCUUCUCCUUCUUCUACUUCUCUACAGCCAUCUGCAGUUGGCUAGAAACCAGAAGCACCUUUCCUUUCCUUCUCCUUUCCUGCUGGCUGGAUAUGCGCAUCAACACCUGCAAUCCGACAAUGCAACAGCAGCUGCAGCUAGGCAAUCAGCAUUAGUGGCAGCCUGGCAGCAGUCAGUGCAGGAUUUCUGAGGGCCCAGUUGCUGGGAUCUUGUUUCUUUGUAUUCUUGAUGAAGAGGAGAGCUUGAGGAAAGAAUUAAUUCAGCUAAUUUGUAAUAAGUUGAGUUCAACUACCGAAUUGGUGAUUAGUGCUGAAAUUUUUAGAUUCGAGCUGGACUUUGGACAAUUCUUUGAUUUUGAUGACAUUCUUUCGGAAAUCUUCUUUUUGCCGAACUUUAGAAGAGUUGGGGACAAGCUUCCCUUCAGCCAGAGCUAGAGAGGAGCCUGCAUUAUUGGUUGUGUUGGUGUGAUUUUCUUUGGGUUUUACAAACCAAAAUGAGAAUUGCUGGAAUUUCUAUUGAUUCUCGAGUUUUAAUGGAAUUUCUUAUAUUUAGUCCAAUUACCUAAGCCUGGAUGACUUGAUUUUGAUCUUCGCUUCAUCUACGACUAGUUGGGAUCUUAUUUGAGCUGAUUUGAAGGUUAGUAGUGAGGGGAUUUUGGUUUUACUCGAGUGCCAACCGAAGUGGCCAUAUGCUGAUUUUAUCAUUGUUAAUCCAAUUCCAACUUAUUGUACUGUGAUUUAUUGGUUUAAAUUGGACGUUUUCAGUGUUUUGGAGCUGAGGAUCACCCAGGUUACAUUCCCCUUUCCUCCCUCGGGUUGUGCUCCUUCCUACGAGUCAUAGGAGCUGCAGCAACAUCAACAUCAACAUCAACAUUCUGCAUCAGCAGAAUUUCAGCAGCCUGUAGCUGAGUUCAAGAUGGAAUUUUUGGAGAUUUUGAAAUCAAAAUUGCUGGGGAAUUGGUUGUUUGCAUUCUUGGUAAAGAGAUGACUUGUGGAGUGUUUUAAUUCAGCAAUUGACCUAGUAUGUUACGUUUAAUUCUUGAUAUGGUAAAGGUCGCUAAAAUUCAGGUUCUAUGCUGAAUUUUGAGCCAGCUGAAUUCUUGAGGGAAUUUCUUUUAAUUUACCCAUAAAUCUAAGCUUUAGAAAGAUUGGGAGUGAUCUUACAUUCAUCUAGAGUUGGUGGGAAUUUCGUUUGAACGGAUUUGAAGGUCAGAUAUUGCUGAAUUUCAGCUUUCAUUGUGGUCUUCAUUCGAGAAAGAGAUUUUUGGUUGAAGCUUAGUUCUUGGAUCUUAUUCCACCUUUGAGCUAAAAGUUUAUGGUAAUUAAGAGACCAGAUGUCACGCCCCGGGGCCAAUUUCAAAAGUCUUUUUAUAAUGAAUAUAAUUUUUUGAAAUCAGAGUUGCGGAAAAUAUGCCUUUUUUUUUUUGAAUUCAACUUAGCCCACGUGACGUACAGACCCGCCACAAAUACAAAGUUCCUCUGACCGCACGAACAGAGUCUCCUUUGUAUUUGCACAGUGUACUAACAGCAACAUCAGAAUCACAACCACAAUCUACAUUCACCAAUCCACAAACAAUCCAUGCAAUGCAUUUCCAUACAGCUAGCAAUCCUUAGGGAUGAUACAUGCCUCUAAACACUCCUUAGGAGCUGGAUGAUGCGAUGCACAAUACAACAGUCAUCCUAUUUAAAAGUGCUUCCCACCCGAAAGCUUUGUUUUUAAGCUCUAUUUAAUCAUUCAUAAAACCAUUCGAAAAAAUAUUUUUAAAACUGUUUCUCACUCGGAAACUUCAUUUUGAAAACCGACUACCUCGAGGGAUAGAAAGCCACAGUGCAUAAAUACAUAAAUCCAAAAACCAAAUAAUCAUAAAUCCCCAAUUGCAUGCUUAAUAGGAAAUCAUCAACUCAGACAGUUCACAAACAUUCAAACAGCAAUAGUGAUUAUCUAACUAAACCAUUUAAUUAUUUAAAUUACUAAAAGCGAAAAUAAAAGUAACCCGGUGACGAUUGCUACCGCAAUCUAAUUAGAACGUCCUCCCGUCGCGCCAAAAGCCAACUCCUUAUCCGAACCACCUAGAAAAAAGGGGGAGGUAAGAAACCACAAUCAAGAUUUUCCAGUGGGUACGACAGAGCCACGAAGGAAAAUCGUAAUUACCGAAAAACAGAGGUAAGGUAAACAGAGUACAGGUGCUAUGAUACGAAAGAGAACUACUGUCACGCCCUGAGACCGCCAGUUUGGCUAAUUCGGGCGCGUCAAACAGACGCCGAACGAACAGCACCUCCCAUAUCCGCCCAAGACUCAACCACGAGAUCAUGUACAAGAAUUCGCCCAGGAACAAUUCAAUGCAUACAUGAUCCAAUCCAACAAGGAGAGAAGCACCACAAGUGCUAUACAACAAAAGCAAGUAACACAAGUAUACACACAAGUGCACAAAAGAGAGAUUCUAUCUAUUACAUCCAUUCAUCCAUAUACAAUCGAUUUACAUCUACAUUUGUAUCUUCCAAAAUAUAGGUACAAGUUCAUCUCAUCAUAAUAUAAGUAUGAAUACAACUCUUCAAAAGCACCUCACCACCUAUACAUAAUCUCUGCUCUCAUAUAUAUAUAUAGAGUGCUACUAAUACAAAAGGAAGGCCUCUACUACCAAUAGGGCGCUAUGCCCUUACCACGGUCCUUGCCCGGCGCGCUCGUGCUCGGUCCUGCAACACAGUGGGAUGAGAACUAUUGUCCAUAGUUCUCAGUAGGUUCGGCCGCCGACUCAGCCAAUCUCCCCACUAGGUCUAGUGGGCACAGGCAGAUAGAUAGGUAGAUAGACAUGUGAAAGCAGUAACGACAUAGUAAGAAAGCUACACUACUAUACCCAAAUCAUAUAUAGAUGCAUGCACAAUGUGAUAGGUAAUCAGCUAACAUGCUACUAUGUCCAAGAAGUAAUGCUAUUUUCUUGUUCAUCCAAUCUCUUGGUUUACCCGAAGGUUCGCCCACGACUCACAUAGCCAUCUCGUAAGGUAAGGAGACUCAACUCGCUCAACAAACCCGAGACCGUCUGCGGGACCCCAUAAGGCUAUCCCUCGGAACCCCAUAAGGCUAUCCCUCGUGUGACAAACUCCGGAGCGUACGCUUAUGUGGAGCGACCACCACAAGUUCUGAACAGACAUGUGAAUAUGAUCCAAUCCUCUCAACUCGAGGAUACCCUAUCCACUAGGGCUAAUAGUCACUCGGGAAUCCACCUAUCCCAAUGUUCAUAUGCAAGUGUUUAACUACACUAAGUUCUUGUUCAAUGACUCAUCACUAGGAAAUCCGCCUAUCCCUAAGUUCACACAUCAGUGUGUCACUCUACACUAAGUUGUAUGCCACUCGUUCUGUUAUCAUUUGUUAGUUACAUGCUACUCGUUAUGUCUUUAUCAAACCAUCGAGUCCAUCUCUUAUCUCAGCACUAUAGGAUUCAAUGCCUCGACCUAAUCCUUAUCUAUCCAUUAUAUCAAGCAUUCAACUCACAUUAUGAUAUCAUCUAGGAAGGUAUAAGGAAAUGGCAAUGCACAUAUUAUCCUACCAUGCAUAUAUGUAAGAGAUGCAAGAUUUCAAUGCACUAGGACAUAAAGAGGAGCCCGGUUGUUUCGGGAUGACACCACCCACCUUCUGGCGUUGUCACGAUUCUAGAAAUGCGAUUCGGCGACUUUACAACGUCGUAUCGGCCUCCCAGGCGAAAACGAAGCUUGGAAGGUCUCUUUUGCCGAUAACUUUGCACAAGUUCGACGAAUCGUCGAACUGACUUCGCCGACACGUCGGAAAGCCUAUCAAUUAGGUUUACACAUGAUCUAAUUAAAUCAAACUCUUACUUUUAGCAAAACCCCAUUUUGGAGCCCUAGAUUGCUACUAAUGCAAAAUACUCGAACAAAGCCCUAGAUUCAUGCAUUUAGCAUCAAUUAGGCAUGCUAGGAUUCCAACUAAUCCAUUUCUAAAUCUUAUAAUCCAAAAUCUAAAAAUCUACCAUUGUAGCUCAAUGGAGCUUACCUCUCUAGCUUGCUCUCAAGGUGGAGAAGAUGAUGAUGAAGAUGAAGAUCCUUCCCUUGGCUUCAAUCUCCACCAAAUCCUCCUCCUUCUUCACCUUCUAGAGAGAGAGAAAGAGCUUAGAGAGAGAGGGGGAGUGUUUUUGGUGUAGGGUUAGGGAAAUGAGGAAAAGAGAGAGAGGGAUGGCCCUCAAGUAGCCCUCAUAAUGCACAAUUGCUGAAAACCCCCUCCACAAUGCAAGUUAUGCACAGCCCAACCCAGGGCAUUUUCGGGUACAGGGAUCGGUCUAUCCCUAGAGGGACCGAUCCCCGAGAGCAAACUUUGCGAGCAGAGUAAUUCUGCCAAUUUUACGCGUAUGGGGACCGGUCCUUCAAUCUUGAGGGACCGGACCCCGAGAGCGAUUCUGUGUGUAGCAUUUUUCUGCCGCUCACCAAGCUUACGGGAACCGGUCCCUCCGCCAGGGACCGGUCCCCGAGAGCAAAUUCUGCAAGUAUGCAGAAUCAUACCAGCUUGCUCUCCGAGGCCCUUUCCAAUGCACUUUAUGCAUUUUCGACGCCUUCGGCCUCUCCGAAGCGUGCCGAACUCAACUUCGAUCAAUUUCGAUGAUAAGGGACAAGUAAUAAUAACUGCUACUGUAAGGAAUACAAUGCUGAGCAUGCCUCAAGGUAACCAACUCAAAAUUGUACCCAAUCUGGUGCCUGCGAUAUUGGUCCGCAGACCUUAGGCGUUGCUUGUCACAUUACCUGCACCGACUCGUGAUUCAUGCGCUCACUGGACGACCUAUCCGGAUAGUACACCCCUGGUCGGUGGCCAAACCGACCUGGUGUCAAUGAAUACACCGAAGUGCUGUGACUGAAUCAUGCUGAUAUGCUCACUGCGAGGCAGAAAGCCGGUGCCUUGGCCGAAGCCAAAUACAAGGGCGUACAAUCCCAAACCACGAUCAAUUAGAUCAAAACACACGACAAAGGAGUCGAUGUGUUGCCUGGACCCAAGGUCCAUAGAUAUACAAAAUGUGCAAAUCUGCUCUACAUGUCUAUCAACAACUAUCAUCAUGAAAUCAAUAAGAUAUAGAUGAACGAACGAUAAACAAAACAACCGACAUGUAGAGACUACAAUGCUGAUAAAGAAGAACAGAGGAAGGUGAAAUGAUCUCACCGACUAUCAGCUCGAAGCACCCACAUGUACUAAUGUUGCGCCUGUCUCCAAACUGUACACGAUCAUCAACCGGACCUACGAAGGUCCACCGGGUUAGUAACCAACCCACAAAACCAGAAUACGUGACUCACAAACCCCACACAAAUCCCAAAUAUCAGUUUCCCAAAAUCGAUCACCGUAACUCGCCGGAAGCCCUGAAAAUCACACCGGAACGCCGUCGGGACCCACUAAGUGUCCCGAAACUCACCGACUCAUACCUCGAGUCACCCACUGUCAUAAAACACAUCGAUUUGGAUAUCUUGGUAGCAAACACAAGAUAACACAACCAAACAAUUAUCACCGGAUAAUUAUUCGGGUUCAGGUCCGAGUUUCCGGAAGUGUCAAUUUCGACACCGGAACCCACAGUCGCUCACCUGUCAUCUCCAAACUCACGAUAUGACGAUGGUGACUAGCCAACAAGGCUUAGCGGCUUAGCGACACAACUCAAGGCAAACAAACAUCGUCGGAUGAAAUCCAAAUCGAAACCGCGUUCCGCUGGCGAAUUUCGCCGAAAAACGCACCGAAAUCAACCUCCAAUUUUCGCGAAGGCUAACGGACCUUGGAUGAUCAGUUCAGAGGUCACCUACCACACGUACGUACUGCCCACAGUAGCCACAAUAUGCACAAUUGCAUAAAAGUCCCUACAUUUACAUAAAAUCCUAUUGUUUUAUGUAAAUGAGGUGAUUUUGUGGCUCGUUAACGCAAACCGAGGACUUCUGAGGUCCGCGAGACACGUACUGACAGGUCUCGAUGUGCCGGAGGCCGUGCUCACGAUCCGGAGCAAAACGCCUCACUGUGGGAGGCGCAGGAGCGAUCCAAAAAUUCUGCGAACCGUGCGCACUCGGGGAAAAUCGCGCCGAAAAAGCCAAUUCGGAACACGUUGAUUCAAAGUGAGGUGAGCACUAUGAUCAGAACUGAUCAGCGAUCACCAUGCUCACUUCCAGAGGCAUUGGGACAGCCUCAGAUCACCAGAAAAAUAAGCGCAAACCCAAAACCAUGCACAGACAGCAUUAAAUGAGGCUCACCGGGCAGAGGAGCUAGGAUUCGGCCGGCGGCGGCUCGGCGGCGGGAGCGCCAGCGACAGGAGGGUGCGGCCAGUGUGGGGAGGUCGCCGCUCACGCGAGACGCCGGCGAGAGGCGGCCGGAGAGGCGGGCGGCGAUGUCCUAGCCCAUUCAAGGAGAGGGGAGCUUGGGCUCGGCUCCUCCGGCGACGGCGACCUCGGGGCGGCGCCGAUCAGCGGCGAGGGUCCCCCGGGGUCAUAAGGAGGAGAAGGGAGGCGGCGGGCGACGGCGGCGGCCGCCCGCAGCUCGGGCGCAGCCGCCCGAGCUCGGCUCGAUCUGCAGACCACGGCGGUGACACCCAAGGCGUGUGGCGGCGGAGGCGAUCGCUCUAGCCGCACCGGUGGGGGCCGGAGGGUCGCGGGGGUGGUCGCCGGUGCGGCUCCAGGCAGCAACGGUGCGGAGGAAAAAUGGCAACUCAGCUCGACCCCCAGCUCGGCCCCCAGCUCGCAGGGUCGUCGCAGCGCGACGACGGUGCUCGGGGCGGCUGAGGCCGACGGCGGAGGUCGCCAGGGUGGCGGGGGCGGCCUCAGGUGGUGGCGGUGCACGAGCUAGGAGCUACAAGGUCACCUCGGCCGAGCAGGCGCAACUAAGUCGCAAGGUGGCUGCAGCGCGGCGGCGGCGUUCGAGGGCGGCAGCAGUCGACGGGGAGGGACAUGUCCGACAGCAGGCGACCACUAAAGGCCAAGGGAGGAGGGUUCGGGUCCCCCUUUUAGCUCGACUCAAGAAUGGGUGAAGAAGUUGGUGGAAAAGGAGAGGGAGAGAGAGAAAAGUGGGUGAGGGAGGACGUGGCCGGCCGGAACUCUGUUGGCAGCAGCCGGUAGGUGUGCGGCGCACGAGGUAAGGGGGGGAGGGCGGCUAGGUUAGCUAGGGGCUAAUGGGGGCUAGGGUUUGCAUGGUGCAAACCCUAGAAGACUAUAUAUACAAGUGCUCGUUUUGCACAAAAGUCCUUCGAAAACCCGAUAUUUAGAACCGAGUCCCUCAUAGCGCGAGUAAAACGCGCGAACACACCACCAAAUUCAAUUUCGCACAAAACGGUACAUAAAAUGUAGAGCUUUCCCGCUUGAUCGCAUCUGUAGCACUUCCCUUGGCGCCGCUCGCAAUGUGUCGGUUGGUGAUCUCUACCACAAAUGACACACUGCUGCGCCCCACAGCCCUUGGACUGCGCUUGCGGAUACUUCGGGGACUUCUUAGAACUCGAUUGUCCCCCCGAACCACCGCCGGGCCAUUUCUUCCCCUUGUCCUUCUCGAACGCCUCGCGCUCAUCCCGCACGCAAGUGUUCCCAUGCUCAACCCACAGGGCACGAUCCAACAUUUCUGCAAAGGUGCGGAACUUAAAAGCAUGCACCAUUCGGAAUAUAUCGGGCCGGAGUCCCCGUACAAAGCACUCCACCCGGUCCUACUCGGUCCGCACCACAUCCGAAACGCAAUUCAGGAAAUGAGUGAACUCCCGCUCGUACUCCCGAACUGUACAGUUGGCUUGCUUAAGCUUCCGAAAAUCCUCCCGCAUCUUUCUCUUUUCACUGUCGGGAAAAUACUUGGCGAACAUUAACCCUCUCCUCCCAAUCGAUCGGGGGAAGGUCCGGAGAUCGAUCCUGCUUCACCCUCCUCAACCACACUCGAGCCCUAUUCUCAAAGCAAUAAGCGGCUACGUAAGGUACCGGACUUCUAAAAUUACGAAGUUACGGUGUACAUUCGGUUGACAAGCCAUUUGAAUCGUCCCGGUGAGGUUCGGUGAAGUUCGGUGAAGUUCUGGAGCAAUCGGGCGUUUCGGUGCGCGUAGGCACGAAAACGAAACCCGAAAGGCUAUGUUGGGCCGUGAGUUAAAUCCGGCAUUAGCGUGGAUGGAAAGAUGAUGAAAACGUGCUCGAAAAUAUGUUUGGAGAGUCUCGGUUCGAUUUGAAAAGAAUCGGAAGUCAAGCGAGCGAAAACGAGCGAAAACAGACGAAAAGCUGAAAUUUGGCUAAGUCUGGAAUUUUGACCUACGGGGACGGGUCCCUCAGCCAGGGACUGGUCUCUCAAGGACCAGUCCCUCAUGCAAGGACCGGUCCCCGUAGCCCAAAAAUGCCCAGUUCGGGCUGUUGCAAGAGAGGCAUUGUUGAGGGGCUUAUUUGCAUUUUGUGCAUGGGUUGAGUGUAUAGAGAGGGUUAGAACCUCUCUCUCUCUCUUUCCCUCACCGUUUCAUCCCUCUUUCUCUCUCUAGACGAAAGAAAAGAAGAAGAAGAGAAAGAAGAGAAGAAGAAGAAGAAGAAGAAGAAGAAGAAGAAGAGAAAGGAGAAUAAGGAGAGGCAAGUGGAGAGCUUCCCCUCCAUCAUCUUCUUCUUCCUUGUGCUUGGAGAAGCUUGGAGAGGUAACCUUCUUAGCCCUCUCAUGGUAGAUCCCUAGAUAUGUGGUUUUGACCUCUGGAAAUGGUUUGAUUGAAACCCUAGCAUGCUUAGUAGAUGCUUAAUGCUAGAAUCUAGGGAUUUGUUGGAGUUAAUUACAUAGAUGCAAACCUAGGGCUCCAAAAUGGGGUUUUUGUAAUUAGAUGGGUUUGAUCUCAUUUAGGCCCUUGUAAAUCUAAUUGUUAGGUAAACGAACACGUUGGCUAAGUCGGUUUGGCGAUUCGUCAAGCCGUUACAAAGAUAUUGAAAAAACGGACGUCGGAGCUUCCUUUCCGCCUGGAGGGCCAAGGCGACGCCCUAAAAUCAUGGGAAUGGAUCCUGAGCACCGUGGCACAUAACCGAAGACCUAUAAUUUUCGGGGCUGCGAAGCGGAGCACGGUUGAGACGCAAUUGCAAUAUCGGGCCGUGCCGGAUACAGGUGCCGCGGGAGGCCGAUUGCAAGUGUCGACAAGCAAUCAAAACGCGAAUCGAGGUGGGUUGUGCUCACCGAAGCAACUAGGUCGCCUUUAUGUCUAAAAAAAGUUAAGAAUCCGUGUUGAUGCAUAUAAUGUAAUGAGGCAUGUAAAUGAUGCAUGUAGCUAAUGCUAAAUAAUGCAUGUUGAUAAUAUGAUGCAAAUGCUAAGUAGAUGCAUAUAAAAGAUAUAGAGAUCAUAGAAUGCAUGAUAUGUAAAUGCUAGAAUGCAUGAUGAGCAAGUUGUAUAAUGCUAGAUAAUUGCAUUAAAUGCAUGUUGACAUUGUGAAGUGCAUACUAAUAUAAGAUAUCAUGCUAGACUCAUAAGAUAUGAACUUGGUUGAUAACUCUAGAUUGAGUAGAGAACUUGACUUUGGAAAUAGGAACAUGAGAACUAUAGAAUACUCGAUUAGACAACUAGGAUGUCGAACUAGAUCGAGUGGCAUCUAACCUAGUGUUAGAGAACAUAGAUUGCGAAUGAAUCUAGAGUUAUGUGACCUAGAUCAAGUGGCAUCUAACGUAGUGUUAGUAACCAUAGGUUAAACAGGAAUGAUAUCGAACCUGGUGUUAGUAAACAUAGGUCGGACAUAGUGAUGUUGAACCUAGUGUCAGUAAACAUAGGUUGAACCCGUGGAUCUAGAAGUUGAGAUCUAGGUAGUAAUGAUAUAGAACCUAGAGUGGCUUUGAAUCUAGGUUGUUGAGUGUAGUGGUAGCAGCCACUAGGAUGUUCUAGGUCGACAGCAUAGGGUUGGUUAUGGACCCUCGACCUGUGGAAGUGGAUUCCGGAAUUCCAGGACCUGUGAUGACCUUGGUAUCGAGGCUAGGGCGUGUGCGACGAUUUCGCCGCCGAGGUUGAUACCAAGGAUGGAUUGGGGGUGAGCGCGCAGAGAUCACUGCCCGGGGCUUGAACCAUUGUCGUGGCGUGUGCGACGAUUUCGCCGCCGGAUGGUUAAGCCAGUUUAUGGAUUAUACCGCCAGAUCGACAUGAGCCAUUGUUGGGUGAGUUGCGAUUCGUUCGCCGCCAGAUAACCAAGUCAAGGGACUUGAACCAGUGUUCGGCGUGUGCGACGACUUCGCCGCCAGCUGGUUAAGUCUCAGGGGGCGGCCAGUGUGCGGACUAUCCACGCAUGAUUGACUCGAGGCCGAGUCGAGUGGUUAGCUUGAUUAGGUUAAUGAAAACCUUAUAAGCUAGUGAUAAAGGGAAGAACUAAGGUAAUAGAGACCUUAGAAGCUUGAGUUGAACUUGAAUUGCGAACCUAAGGUAGUAGAACCUUAGAGGCUAAAUGACAUGAGCUAAUUAAAGUUAGUAAAGUUGAACGUAGAAUCAAUAGAUCUACUAGUUGUUGCGUAAUGUUCAUAUUGCAUAUUGUGAGGCAUGUUAUCUGUUAGUUGCAUAAUAACAUGAUGAUAUAUAUAUCUAUAGAUGUUUUUGGACUAACAUGAUUGCAGUGCCUCCUUGGACCUUUUGGUCGAGCUUUUUUCUUGGGUGGCCGUACCCACUGGGAACCAUGAAGUUGGUUCUCAUCCCACGUUGCUUUGGAGUGUUACAGGUUCGCACGUGAGCGGCGCGGCGGCGCGAGAAAAGGGCGUUGCUCCGUAGAUAGCGCCCUACCCCAGAGACCAGAGUUAGUAGUACCCCGUUGACAUAGCUUAGGGGUAUAGGAAAUGAAAAGAACACAAUGUAUCAAAUUUGUAAUAAGUAAAUGAUGUAACAACUUAGAUUGCAUCUGGAUAAAAAAGAUUUGUAAUUGGGAGGUAAAAAGUGAAUGUGAAUACUUGUAAUAACAUAGGAUGUGUUUAUGUUGUUUGAUACCUUCCUUAUGCAAUCUUGAUUGAAAGGUGUUCCUGGUUGGAACUUCAUACAUUGUAUUAAUUGCGAUGCCUUGAACGUACAGGGGAGACUCUGUCCGCAGUACAGGAAAAACCCUGUCCGUUCGGAGCUGUUGGCGCGCCGCGACCUCGGCCAAAUAGGCGGGUGGUCGCGGGGCUGUGACAGGCUAAGUGUACUUUGUCUUGCUCUAAUGUGUAGAUGUCCUCGAACAAUAUCUCCAUCGUGGCUAACCAAGUCUCCACAGUCCAAGAAUCUAUCACCUCGCCAUCAAAAGUUGGAGGAUGAAACUUCAUGAACUUUGUGAGAGCCGUAUAACCGCGCUCUCGCUCCGCCUCCUCGGCCGCCGCAUCAAGUAUUGAAUAACCUGUAGCCACCGGAGGAACACCCGCCGGCGGGGGACGUACCACUACUGGAGCCGCCGCUAUGCCCCCACCCUCAGCCGCAUUGGGCGCGUGAGACGAGGGCGUGGGCGAGUCACGGCCUUCGGUUGCCGUCGCGGCCGCCGCCGCCACUUGCCGUUCCAUAAGCUCCUAUAGCCGCUCGAACCGACUCUCCUGGCGCUGCAUCGCGCCGACCAUCGAAACGACCUGCGCUCGUAGUUCCUGUACUUUCUCAGAUCCUGACUGCUCAGGCACCACGGGAGACGGUGCCGGAACGGAUCUAGCCACGCGGCGUCUCUUUGGUGCCAUUAGCUCCUAAAACGCAACAACUUGGUUAAUUACCUUAACCCGAUAACUUUCGCAACUACAAGACAACACGACUUAACAUCGCAAAUUAGGCGGAAGCACCCAAGUGUACUCGUUCUAAACUCUUAGCGUCAUGUUGUCGGCCGCCAACACAACCAUUUCGAGUCAAGAACUAAUACCACUUGAAUCCGCUCCUAGCAACCACUAGAGACAUACUGACACUUCAACCCAAUCGAAUCAACUUCCGCCACCGGCAUAGGUUCACGUCUCACUCACGCACCUAUAACCUUAUGGUUACCGUCCUAGGGUCUCCUAGGUCUAUCCUAGACUUCUCUCUUUAUUUGCUCUGAUACCACUUUAUCUGUCACACCCCGCAACCGCCAAUUUGGUCGGUUUGGGUACGUCAAACAGACGCCGAACGACAGCACCUCCUCUGUCCGCCCAAGACUAAACAACAAAGUCAUGUAUAUCAAGUUGCCUAGGUAAACUUAAACAACAUAUAUGAAUCAUUGCGAGUAAAACAAGCAAGUAAUACUACAAGUAAACGAGAGAGAGAGUCCUAACUAUUACAUCUUUCAUUCAACAUUAACAUAAUUGGUUACAUUUUCAUCUCCCAAAAGGUAUACACAUGGUUUACAAGUUCAUCUCAUGACAUAUACAUCUCUCCAAAAGCAUCUCACCAACUAUACAUCAUCUAUCACUCAUGUACAUAGGAUGCUCUAAUGCAAAAAGGAUAGCUACUAGCUAUUAGGACGCUAUGCUCUUACCGUGGUCCUAGCCCAGUCCACUUGAACUAGGCCCUGCAACAAAGUGGGAUGAGAACUAAUAAUAGUUCCCAGUGGGUUCGGCCGCCGACUCCGCCGAUCUUCCCACUAGGUCUAAGCAGGCAUAAGUAAUAGAUAGAUAAUAAAGAAAUAACUGCUACAUGGUAUGUAUUCUACUAACAUGCUACUAUACCUCAAUCAAUAGCAAAUGAAUGCAGAUCUACAUAGUAAUGAUGUAAUAUACCGAAAAUUCGGAAAAUAAAUAUCGAACUUCAGUCAAAUUGACCAAAGUGCGAGGACGGAGCACUUCGGAAAGUCCGAAGGUGUUAAAAUGAUUAAAAAUGAGUUGUGGAAGGUUUUCGGGAGCUAAAGAAUNAUGUGAUCAAAAUGAAUCAUAUUACUUGAGAAUGUUUAGUUCCUUUUUCUUUCACUAAUGGCCAUUGCUUACCCUCGUGUAAGCCGUUUGUGUAUGUUUCCGCUAGUGCACUUCUUAUUGAAAAUGCACAUGUGAUGAGCCUUGGGCGGAUAGGGGAAACUCUGUCCGUUCGGCGUCUGUUUGACGUGCUCGGGUCGGGCCAAAUUGGUAUCGGAUCCGGGGCGUGACAAAUGAAGCCAUCUAUCAUGCUACUAUGUUCAAGAAGUAUAUCAUUCAUGUGUUCAUUACACAAUCAACUUGGCUAACCCGAAGGUUCACCACGACUCACAACCAAAUCUCAUAGGUGAAGAGACUCUGCUGCUACGCACACCUGAUACCGUCUGCUGGACAAGUACGUUAGUCCAUGGGCAAAUACGUUAACCCAUCGUGUGAUAACUCCGGAACCCACUGCUUGGGUGGAGCGACCAUUGCCAAACUCAAAACAGACUAUGUGAGUAUGAUCCAAUCCUCACCAACUGAGGAUACCCUACCAACUAGGGCUAACAAUCACUCGGGAACUCAACUGUCCCUAUGUUUCUAUUCAAGUGUUUCAUCUACACUAAGUUCAUCAUGUAAUAAGUGUUUCUACUACACUAAUUUCACAUGCCACUCGUCUAUGUCACCAUUCAUAGUUUACAUGCCACUCGUCAUGUAUUUACAUAUAUCAAGUUCUCUACCUGUUUCGGCACCGUAGGAUUUCAAUGUCCAGACCCAAUUCCUUAUAUAUCCACUAUAUCAUGUGUCCAUCACAAUACAAUAUCAACUAGGAAAACAUAUAAGGAAUGGAAAUGCAACAACUAUAAUCCUACAACGCAUAACAACAUAAGAGAUGUAAGGUCGACAAUGCAAUCUUAGACAUAGAAGGUAGUUCAACUGCUUCGGGUGGCACCCUCCAUCUCUUGGUGAUGCCGCGAAGCUAGACUCCAAGUUUCGCAAUCUUCCGCGCCUAUUUCUUCCGACUGCUGCAAACGAAGCCAAAAACAGGCAUUUCUUCAAUAUCUCCGCGCAGACUCGUCGGAUCGCCGAAUCGAGUUCACCGGCGCGUUAGAUUACCUAGCAAUUAGGAUUAUAUAUGGUCAAUUUAGAUCAAAUCCUAACAUUUUGCAAAACCCCAAUCAGAACCCUAACAUAUAACCAAUGCAAGAAUCCACUCUACAACUUCAUGAUCCGAGCAACAAUCAUCUACUUAACAUCCUAGGGUUCCACCAAAACCAUUUCUAGAGUAUAUAAACAAAGCCCUAGAAUUUUACCAUUAAAGCUCCAAGAAGCUUACCUCAAUGCUUUCUUCUUGAACCAAGGAAGAAGAUGAAGAAGAUGAUGAUCCACUUUCUUGCUUCAAUCUCCACCAAAUCCCCCUCCUACUUCCUACCUUGAAGAGAGAGAGAAAGAGAGCUUAGAGAGAGAGAGGGGAGAGCCAUUUUAGGUUAGAAUGUGAGGGAGUGAGAGGAGAGAACUCAUAUCACCCUCAAAUAGCUUCCACUAAUGCAAAAUUGCAUAAAAUCCCUCAAACAUUGCAAUUAGUGCAUAACCCAACCUGAGCAUUUCGCAGCUACGGGGUCCGGACCCCCCGAGAGCACCAUUUUUCUGCAAUUUUGCAAAAAUGCUUAUUCAAGCUCUCCAAGGUCCCCCAUAACCCAUAAAAGCCAUUUUCGUCACGUUCGGCCUUUCCGAAGCGUCCCGAACUCGCCUUCAAUCAAUUUUGAUCGAAGUUCGGAUUUACGUAUCGAGGUUUCAUUUCCUCACACUCUGUUCGUUCGGCGGUCUGUUGGCGUGCCCGAAUCCGACCAAAAUGGCGGGUUGUCAGGGCGUGACAGUUCCGUUGGCCGCUCACUACCUGGAGGACGAGGCGUACAGCUGGUGGUUGCGCCUCUUCGAGAAGAAGUAUGCUAAGACGUACUCACCCUGGAAGAAGUUUCGAGAGCUCCUCUACAGUCAGUAUUUCAAGGACAGCACCAAGCAAGGCUUGGAGCACGAGCUGGAGCGACUCAGGCAGGGCAACCGUACUAUGGCGGAGUACGAGCAAGACUUCUCUUGCAUUGUGGGACUGAUCCCUUUCGUGGUCCUCAAUGAGUACCACAAGGCCCAGAUGUUUGCUAGGGGGUUGAAACCCAACAUCCGAAUUCUAAUCGCAUCGCACGGCGUGAUGACGUUCGACGAGUGCCUAGAUAGGGCCCUAAUGGUCCAAAAUGAUAUGGAGGAGGCACGAAUCGAACGUGAUGCAUCCGAGAAGAAUGGGGACAAGAAGCGUUCCCAUUUCAAGUCGAGCGGUGGCUCUUUCUCCCCACAAAAGCAUCCACACACUCAGCAGUCGGCUAGGAGUGUACCAUCGGGCAACCAACGAUAGGGUGAUCGACCCUGUGUGAUUCAUCAUCUACUAUUUUCGUGCGCUAUAUAUUCAUUCGCUCCGAUAGGGUAUCAAAUUGUGAAUUUGAGACGAAAAUCUUCUCUACUACAAUUUGCUAAGCAAUACAUUCUCGUCUCAAAAUUAUUAAAUGUCGUAUAUGAACGAAUCGAGAUCAAUUUCUUUCGACUGCCAACAUAUUUGGGACUAUUUCCAUCCAUAACUAACUAUCAAUCCCAAUGAACACUUAGCCACCGUUUGGUUCGGGGUUAAGUAAAAACUUGUUAUUCCAGGGAUAGGGUUAAGUUCAGGGUUAAGGUGGGGUUAGAGUAAUUUUGUGUUUGGUUGAUAAUUGGGUUUAGUCCAGAUAUAGGUAAAAUAGUGUUUAGUUUGAGUAGAUGGGAUAAGAAGGAUAGUGGGUAAAAUAGUAUUUUGUUUGGUUGUAGUCGGGUGGGGUGCCCACCCCACAUGGGCUAUCACCGGAUAGGCCAUUUGGGGUGGGAUUAGCUAACCCCACCUCCCAAAUUGGGUGUUUGGAAAUAACUUCGGGGUUAAGGAGUUAUUCCACCCUUUAACGCUGAACCAAACGGAUGCUUAGAGACAUCCGACGACUAGCCAUUUUAACUACACAGAAAAAACUUUCAAAUAUUCUCUCAACAUAUUUAGUGAAUAUAAUACAAAAAAAUUAUAAACAAAAAAGAGACCACAUGGAGACUCCCCUACCCCACACGGCAAUAAUCCAACAAAGAUUAUAGAAAAAGUUUGUUGGAAUUGGCAUAUUAAAAACCAGAAAUUAAGGCCUCAUUUGAUAUCAUCUUACCAUAAUGUCUAACUAAACGUGAAGCAAAAUCUCUCAUCUUCGAAUCGACUUUUUGAUCCGAAAAAGAGAACAAAAAUAAAGUCAAUUGAAGACUUCAAAUAACCCUCACAAAAUGGUAUCCUUUUUUUCUUGAAACUCGAUAUAUUAUGGGUAAUUGAAGCUAUGCAAUGAGUUAAAAUAAGUAAUAAGGUAUCAAGUCGUUCGCUCUAAAAAAAUAGAUUUGAAGCUAUUUUUCAUAUAGGUCCCAAUUUUAAACCCUAGAUUUUACAUUUUUAGCAACAAUGGCAACAAUGCCAAAGGAAGUAAAAACAUAUUGACCGAAGAACCUCCUCCGAAAGUCUAGGAAAGAUAACGGUUAAAUUCAAAUGCAUAACAAAUUUGGCAACCUUAAGUUUCAAGGUGAAUGACAAGCCCGUGACAGGAAAAUGGAACGAUUAAUCAAUUAGACAAUAAUCAUAGCCGCCAUGCAAUAGAAAGGGGAACAAGAAAAAGAGACCAUGAUGGUGUCAAAAUACCGGAUUCUUGGACAUCCUCAGCAUAGAAGAUGGCUCGUGAUGAUUCUUGUGUUGCAUGACCGAUAAACCUAACCUUUUUGCGUCGUCACGUACGUAAAAGCAAUGCCUGCUAUAUCAAAAAUAUACAACGCCGAUCGGCCAGACAUGUGUUGUCACUUCAAUAGUAAUGGGGCAAAGAAAGUAUGUGCAAAAAUAUGAAUUUGCUAUGAACUGAUUUGAGUACAAGUAUAACAGCGCUGCUACAUAAAAGUUGGUUGCAAGAAUAUAUGUACAAACUAGAGAACAAAAAUUGAAGAAAACCAAAGCAAAAACCCUUCACCGAUUCGACGUGGAGCAAAUGGUCGUGUCGGUCUUGAUAACUCUGGUGUUGUAUGAACCACAGAAGCUGCAUUUGUGGUAUAGCCAGUGGAAUCGAGAUACACCCAUCUUGUUACAGUCGUUGCACAGUAUAUCCUGCACCAAUUCUUUAAUCAAUUAGCAAUCUCUUCACUAAUAAAAAGGAGUAAUAGUUUUGAUUGCGAGAGGAAAAUGCACCUGGCACCGGUCCCUGUAUUCCUCGGGAAGUUCUUCAGCAGCAAGCAGGGCAUCAAGCAUGCCGAAGUAAACCUGAAGAUUGUCCAAAUACACCUUUUUGUCUCAAUAGGCACCAGAUAAAGGAAAAGCAUCUGGCAACUAAAUGGAUUCUCUUGUAUAACAUCAGACGAUGUUAGCACACAUGAUAAGCGUUGUCAUAUCUAUCGAACCCAUAACAAGCUAUUAGCCAUCUAAAUUACAAGAUAGAAGCACAUAUCUAUACACCCAGAAAACAAAAUUGUGAUCUUAUUUAUGUAGACUAACGAGUGAGUUUUGGACCAUUUAAGAAGAGGUGAAAAAUAUUCAAAUAUGUUUCACAGGGAAUUAAGUGAUUUCUAAUGUGUUUUAGGAGUUCAAAAUCAUUCUGGAAGUGGCUAGCAUCUGCAAUAGUGGGAUCUCAAGAACAUCUUGUUAUCUGAAGCCCCUAGAGGGGUAUGAAUUGAAGAUAUUAUUACUAUUGGUCUCACAACAACCAUAUCCAGAAACCAAUCCAGAUGAACACAACAUGGUGGAGCUAUACGUUAAGGAACGGCUCAAUAGUGAAUUUUAAUUCCCUGUCAAGCUAUACGUUAAGCAUUGCGAAGUAACAUGAAUAUAGAAUAUAAAAUAUAAAGACACCCUUCUCUAGUUGCUUAAGCUAUUAAAGAACAAUGGUUGUUUCCUAUAAUUUAACAUAGUAUCAAAGCAAAAGAUCAUGAGUUCGAGUCCUAAUAGGGUUCUAACGUUAUUAAUUUCCUCCUAUUUAAUUCAAGUCAACAUCUCUCUAGUAGCUAAAGCUAUUGGAGAACAACGGUUGUUUCAGAUAACUUAAUGACUUUGCAAAGAGCAUCUUGAAGGAAUAUAACUAAUUUUGUCCAAAAGAAAGUUAGAUUUUGUAUACAUCUUCUCAUGGAAAAAGACACUUGGGGACCAUGACAAAUGAUAGCGGACACAGAAGCAGGGCAUCCAGAAGGAUGUUUGGAGAAAUAAAAGGAAAGUCUUGUCAUUUGCAGCACACCACUGAAGCAACUGAGAAACUUGCUCCAAGCCUACAGUAAGUUUCAAGCAGAGUCCAAGUCAAUAUAUUUUGGUACUAAGCACCAUAGCUCGACUAGGGUACAGGAAAACUAAGGGCAGGUUCAUGAGUUCAUCCAUAGAAAAGACUAGAAUAUUCAGUUGACUAUGUUCCUGUGAAAUCUUAAAACAACAUUAAAUCAUUAGACUACAGAAAACCUUUACGCGUCUGGAAAUAGGCCUUGGCUAAACUAGGAAACAAAAAUAGCAAUAUGCCUUUCAAAUGUUCCCAACCUAAUAAUCCUAUUACAAUAAUUCUUGUAAAUAGUAAUGCCACCUCACAAACAAGCUUGCGACAUGCCUUUGGGAACUUCCUAGUCAUUAUCACAUCUAGGGCAGGCUAUGUCCCCAGUUCCAAAGAAGACAAGCUAGCACGGUCAUGGUUUACAAUCAUAGCUUCCAUACCUACUCAUUUUGGAUCAUUUACCAAGAAUCAAAGUCAGAAAAGCCAUUUUGAGGCAGCUUGCAGAGAUGUCACCACUCAGCCUCCUAUGGCAAUAAUAGUCUUGAUGUUUGCAGUUCCAACUUUGUUCCAGGGCAAAGGUUUCCAUAGGCCGAUAAGAAACCAAAACUAGUUUUCCAAAAGAGAUUUCUCUGUAGUUAACAUAGUAAUUGCCUUUAGUACCAAUUGAUCAGCUAUUAAAUAUAGAGGCAAAUUCUCCCCAACAGCUAUCAGCAAAAUCUGGAAAAACAGAGUAAAUAAAAUUUGAAACUAAUAAAGGGUCCCAACAGGACCUAGAGCCGAACAGAACCUAGAGCCAAUCAAAACUCAAGAUUGAUUCUGGAGACAGCAGGAUCAGCAAACAGGGAAAGCUCAUAUAUGCCUAACACGUAAUUUUUGAGUUGAAUAUGUAGACUCUAGCUUUUUUUCGUUUUGCUCAAAAUUCUCAGCAUGCGUCUCCACCAAAACUAUUCAAGCUUUACAGCUACAACAUAAAUUCAACUGAGCUGACCAAAACCAGGGCCCGCUAGUAACAUCGAUGAAAUUAAAAGACUGACUCAGCUGGCACACAGCUUUAGUAGGCAACACAAGCUCAAGGUGAACCUCUAAACUAGUAAUUAUAAUAGGCUCAGAAACUAAACCAAAUCAAGAAUUAAAAACCACAAAGGCAGAGGUAAUGAAAAAUCAAAGCUAAAAUAUUAGCUGCUAAAUAGGACUAAAUGUCUUGCAAUGAGAUCAAUAAAAAACAGAGAGGCCACCCAUGUCAACUAAUGAAUAUCAAAAUCUCAACAUGCAAAAAGUUUGUCACAACUAUUCAGAGUAAAUCAGAUGACAGCAAUCUCAAAUUCAACAAAAAUUGUUCAAAAAAUGCACAUGAAAGGAUCAGUAGCUGAUAAACACUUAGAAACAAAAUUCACUUUGAUUUCUUUUUCUAGUUAGGUAUCAAAUAUGUGCAAUACUAUAUAGUAUGCGAAAAGCUUCUUAAUUACUACAUAACAUGGAAGAAACAACUGAAACUUUUCUUGCAUAAGGGUAUGAAAAGUAGUCUCUUACCGCCAUAUCUCCCAAGGAUUUGCUACAAAUUGGACAAGUAUAGUGACUACAAGUGUACGCCUGCGAAAUGAUAGAAAUAGUUAACAAAUAUCUAAAUCCUACAACCAACUCUUUAAACUGUCUUAUUAUCCAUAAAAAAACAAAAAGAAAGAUAGAGGUUAUGUAACAGGGAAAGAGAGAGUAAAUAGAACAUAUCCAGUUGUUCUCAGAAGAUCUCAUGGAAGAGAAUAUACCUGAAAACAUGCAGAGUGCAUGAAAUGGCCACAGGGUAGAGCUCGUACUGCCGCACUUGAUGUAAACAAAAAAUCACAACAAAUGGGACAGUUUGUCUCCAAACUCUUCUCCCGGCAUUUGUGCUCCACUAACUUCAUUCCCAAGCAACAAUUGCAAGUCAUGCAAUGGAAGAAGUCAAUACCGAGUCCUUUCCCAAGGCGACACAAAUUACAAGAUGGACAGUGGUAUACACUCCUGAAAUGUUGAGAACUCCAGCAUUUAUAAUCUUUUACAGUAUAAUGCAAAUAGAAGCUCUUAAUUAUGCUUGAUUCCCUCCCCCUCUCUCUUUACUGCUACCCAUGCUUUAAUGCAAACCAUGUAAUGCUCUUGAUCCAUAACGCCACAAGAACAAAAUGAUGGGUUCUACAGAAGUUCGUAUUAUGUGAACACUCUCAGUUAUAAUGCUUAGGCAAUAAUAAGACUAGUUUUCGCAGUUUUCUUUAUAAAGGAAAAAUUAUGGUAUUCCCUUAGGCUAUGUUUGGUUGGGGGUUAACAUUCAUAGGAAUAAAUUUUUUUAAUUCUUGAGAUAACUAGUUAUUCUAGGGUAUACAAGUUCGUUCAAAAUUGUCUGGUAGAAUAUUCUUUUAUUCUUAAGACUAACAAAAAAUGUAUUUGAUAGGUAUCUCAAGGAUGGUAAAGAAUAAUGAAAUAUAUAUAUAUAUAUAUAUAUAUAUAUAUAUAUAUAAACAAUGCAAAAUUAAUACAUUUUAACAUAUUAUAGGUUAUAAUCAGUGUUUGAAAAGGCGCGAGGCGCAAAAAGACGCAAAACUCUCCUGGAGCCUAGGCGCGAGGCGCACUGCGAGGCGCGCGCCUCAAGAAGGCGAGGCGCACAGUAAUUUAAUUUGAUAUUCUACAUUAAAAAAACUCCAAAAUAACUAUACAAAACUAAAAUAACUAGUCUCAAUAUAUAGGUUCUCAAGUUAAAGGUUCUCAAGUUAAAAAAAAAUAUAUUUCGACUUUCAACUUAAAAGUGAUUGUGGUGCCAAUGUUUUCAUUUGGCCUCAAGAAGGAGAAGAGAGCGGUAAAAGAAGUGAUAGGAGGAGAGGGCGGUAGAUGGAUUUCAUUAGGGUUUGUUUUAGGUUUCUUUUAGAUUCCUUUACUAAUCUUAUCGGGCUAAAAUAUAAAAUUUAUAUCCGAAACCCAAUAACCCAAAAUCUUUAAUCCAAAAUCCAAAAAAUAUUAAAUAUGCCGAGGCGCGCGCCUUAUGUGCGCCUCGCGCCUCGCCUGAGGCGCGCACCUCAGGGCCUAGGCGCGCACCUCAGCAAUAGCGCCUCGCCUCGCUAUUGCUGAAGCGCGGAGGCCAGCGCCUCGUGCCUAGGCACUGAGGCGCGCGCCUUUUCAAACACUGGUUAUAAUACAUACUGUUUUAUUUAUUUAUAAUAAUAAUAGUAGUACUUCUGCUACUAAUAACAAUAACAAUAAUAAAUAUUAUUAUUAUUACAAAUAUAAAAAAUAAAAUAAAACAUCAUUAUUAUUAUUUUUAUUUUUAUUUUAUUUAGCUAAAUAUAAGCAUGAUUAUAUCUUUCUUUAUUUUUAACUAGCUAGAUACAAGCAUGAGAAUAGCUUUAUUCCACUAAAAAGUUGGACUACUUGUUCCCAGGUUAUUCUAGGAUUACUUAGAAUCAAGGAUUUAAGUGCCGUGGCACGGGGUCGUGCCGGAAACUUGUCGGCACGGUACGGCACGAUGUGUGCCGAGCCGGACCGAUGCGUGCCGGUCAAAAAAAUUCUUGUGUGCCGCCACAUAAUAGCAUGAAAUAUUUAUUUUCUUUAGCAACAAAAUAUUCUAACUAUUUACUACGUCUUUUUAUCACAUCUUUUGAACUUUAUUGAAGAAAUUACUUACUAAUUUAAAGAAUAGAAGGUUUUGAGCUGUGCCAUCGGCACGAAGUCUGUAUAGUGCUGGUAUCUUGUUGGCACAGUACGGCACGUUAGAUACGGCCCGUGCCAACAUUAGAUACGGCCCGUGCCGACAGGCACUUAAAACCUUGCUUAGAAUAACCUGCUUUGGCCGGAAUAGUUGCCCCGACCAUUUUUUUAAGGCGUUUGGCGGAAUAGCAGAAUAAAUUUUAUUGUCCUCGAUUUAUUCACAAACCAAACAUAGCCUUAAGGAGUGUAUUACUGACCAAGUCUUAAACCUAAAUAUACGCCACAAUACUUUAUGUAUUAACUGUUGAAACUAACACUAUGGAUUCCAAAGUUGAUCAGUUCACAAUCAAACAGAUUGUUCGGGCAGGUUUGAAAGUUAAACUGUGAAAUCAAUCUGUUUAUAAUUUGUUGUUGCUUAAUUCAUCUUAAAUUAAUAAUUCUGGCAUAUAUAUAUAUAUAGAGAGAGAGAGAGAGAGAAAGAAAGAGAGAAAGAGAGAGUAGGGCUACUAUACUCAUAUGAGUAUAGAGCCCUUCGUACUCAUAAGUUGUUUUCGAUGAUGAAGCUUCCGAAUCGACGAUCAACUCCGUUAAAUAUGAUCUAAAGUAUUUGAAACUACUAAAAAAUAAAUUUCGUAACUUUUCAAAAUCAAAAUAAAGUCCAUCAAGUGACAUAAAAUGAACGGUCAAAAUCGAACGACGUCCUAAAAAUAGAUGAUCGGAUCCUUCAAUUUAAGAUCGGAGCUACUGAUCUUUAUCUAGAUAGUGAAUAGAAUUUUCUAUCAAAAAUUCAACUGAUUCCGAUUCUUAUUCACCGUUAAACUAGCAAGUAUCCUAUAUCGGCCGUUAAAAAUUGUCAAUUUUGAGACCUUUUGAUCGUAAGGUAAAUGAUGUCAAAAAAUUAUAAAAUUUGAUUUCUAGAAGUUUUCAAUGCUCUAGAUAAUAUUUAACGAUAUGGAUCAUCUAUUCGAAAACUCUAUCAUUGAAGACGAUUUACGAGCACGAAGGCGAUCGUAUUCAUAAGAUUAUAGUAGCCGGACUCUAUAUAUAUAUAUAUAGAGUAGGGCUACUAUACUCUUAUGUGUAUAGAGCCCUUCGUACUCAUAAGUUGCUUUUGAUGUUGGGACUUUCGAAUGGACGAUCCACACCAUUAAACAUGAUCUAGAGUAUUUGAAACUUCUCGAAAAUAAAUUUCGUAAUUUUUCGAAAUCAUUAUAAAGUCCAUCAAGCGGGUAUAAAAUGAACGGUCAAAAUCGAACGAUAUCCUAAAAAUGAAUGAUCGGAUCCUUCAAUUUAAGAUAGGAGUUAUUGAUCUUUAUCUAGGUAGUGAAUAGAAUUUUUUAUCAAAAAUUCAAACCUAUUCCGAUUCUUUUACACUGUUAAACUAGCAAGUAUCUCAUACCGGCCGUUAAAAAUUUUCAAUUUUGUAAGCUUUUGAUCAUAAGGUAAAUGAUAAGCUCUAUCAUCGAAAACAACUUAUGAGUAUGAAGCCAAUCGACUCAUAAGAGUAUAGUAGCCGGACUAUAUAUAUAUAUAUAUAUAUAGAGAGAGAGAGAGAGAGAGAGAGAGAGAGAGAGAGAGAGAGCGCUAGGCUGGUAUACUAUCGGUAGCACGGAGGCCUCCGUGCUACCAAGCUUUCAAAUCGACGAUGGGCUCCGUUAGACUUGAUCUACACUAUUGAAAGUAUUUGAAAACUAAAUUUCAUAAAUUUUCGACAUCAUUUACCUAUCAAACGAGUAGUCUAAAAAUGAACGGCUGAAAAUAAAAAUCUCAUAAAAAAUAAUGAUAAAAGACUUGAAUUUAAGAUCAGAGGUAUUGAUUUUACUCUAAAUAGUGAAAAGAAUUUUCUAUAAAAAUUUCAUCAGAUUUGGAUUGUUUUACACCGUUAAAUUCACAAACGCAUCACAUCUACCAUUAAAAUUGUCAAUUUUAAGACCUUUUGAUCACUAGCCAAAUGAUGUCGAAAAAUUAUGAAAUUUAGUUUCCAAAUACUUUAAAUAGUGUAGAUCAAGUCUAACGGAGCCGAUCGUCGAUUUGGAAGCCGCAUCAGUAAAAACAACUUGGUAGCACGGAGGCCUCCGUACUACAGAUAGUAUAGCAGCCUAGCUCUUAUUUUAUUUAGCUAAGUAUAAACACGAUUAUAUCUUUCUUUAUUUUAAUUAGCUAGAUACAAGUAUGAAAAUAGCCUUAUUCCACUAAAAGGUGGACUAGUUGUACCCGGGCCUGGUUUGACCGAAAUAUUUGCCCCGACCAUUUUUUCAAGGCAUUUAGCAGAAUAGCGGAGAUAACUUUUGCCAUCUCCUGUUUAUUCUCAUACCAAGCAUAGACUUAAGGAGUUACUGGGCAAGCCUUAAACCUAAAUAUACGCCACAAUACUUUCUAUAUUAACUGUUGAAACUAACACUAUGGAUUCCAAAGUUGAUUAACUCACAAUCAAACAGAUUGUUCAGCUAGGUUUGAAAGUUGAACUACCCAAAUUAAUCUAUUUAUAAUUGGUUGUUGCAUUGUUGCUUUAAUUCAUCUUAAACUAAUAAUUCUGACAUAUAUAUAUAAAGUCCAGCUAAUAUACUAUUAUAAGUACAAUCGCCUUCAUAUUGAUAAGUCGUUUUCGAUGAUAAAACUUCCAAAUUGACGAUUCAUUCCAUUAAACAUAAUUUACAGCAUAUAAACAUUCCAGAAACCAAGGAUUUAAGUGUCGUGACGGGGUUGUGCCGGAAACUUGCCGGCACGGUGCGUGUCGGUCAUAAAAUAUAUCUGUGCCGACACGUAAUGACACGAAAUAUUUAUUUUCUUUAGCAACAAAAUAUGCCAAUUAUUUAUUAUGUAUUUUUAUCAAAUCUUUUGAACUUAAUUGAAAAAAUUACUCACUAAUUUCAAGAAUAGGGGAUUUCGAGUUGUGCCAUCGGCACGAGGGCUGUGUCCUGCCGAUAUCUUGUUGGCACGAUAUGGCACGGUGGAUACCGCCCGUGCCGAUGGGCACUUUAAUCCUUGCCAAAAAUUGAAUUUCAUAAUUUUUUGACAUGAUACACCUUAUAAUCAAAAGGCCUCAAAAUUGACAUUUUUAACGGCCGGUAUGGAACGUUUCCAAGUUAAUAGUGCAGAAGAAUAAGAAUUGGUUGAAUAUUUGCUAGAAAAUUCUAUUCACUAUAUAAAUCAAGAUCAAUAACUCUGAUCUUGAAUUUAAAAACCCUAUCCCCUAUUUAUAGGAGAUCAUUCGAUUUUGAUUGUUCAUUUUGUACCCACUUGAUGGACUUUAUUAUAAAUUCAAAUAAAAGUACGAAAUUCUAUUUCUAGGUACUUUAAAUGCUCUAUAUCAUAUUUAACGGUAUGGAUCGUCGCUUCGAAAUUGGUUGAAUAUUUGCUAGAAAAUUCUAUCCACUAUAUAAAUCAAGAUCAAUAACUAUGAUCUUGAAUUUAAAAACCCUAUCCUCUAUUUAUAGGAGAUUGCUUGAUUUUGAUCGUUCAUUUUGUACCCACUUGAUGAACUGUAUUAUAAAAAUUCAAAUAAAAGUACGAAAUUGUAUUUCUGGCCAGGGACGAGACCAUGCAUAGGCCGACAAUGGCCAUGGCCCCCCCAGACUUUUUAAAAUUACAAAAAGUUUUAGUCUUAAGUUGUUCAAAAAAUUAAAAUAUUACAAUUUUUAGGGACCAAACUGCAAUUGUUUUGAACACUAAAGUUGCUUGUGGGCCACGCUUCAUGCAUGAGCAGCAUGACGCAUGCAUCAUGAUGCCCACCCCCAAGCGCCGCCCGCCGCUCGCCCGACGCUCGCCAGUCGCCUCGGCGCCUCCUCCCACACCAGUGCACCGCAAUUUGUCAAUCCACACUAAUUAACCACUCUCUCUCUCUCUCUCUCUCCCUCUCUCUCUCUCUCUCAGUUCCACACUUUCUUUCUCUCUCUCCCAUUUCCACACUUCCAUUCCCAUUUCCCAGCCUCCGAGAGUCACAGGCUCAGAGCUCUCUCUUUCUCUAACUUAUCUCAAAUUUCAAUCUCUCUCUCGCUUGCCGGACCGCCGGACGCUGGCCGCCGGUGGUGGUCGCCCCUCGCCGCUCGCCCGCUCGGGCUCGGGCCGCUCGGCGCCUCGAACUACACGGCUACACGCCUACACCCUUCUGGACUAUCAACUUCUUUUGAAUAAUUUUUUGGUGACCGCCUGAUCGGUGAGUGAACCGUCAACCGUGAAUAACUAAAUAUUUUCUUUUAUGUCAUUGUAUGGUAUGCUCUUGAUUUAUUAGUUGUUGUUUGUUCAACUAUUUAAGUAAUUGACAACUAUUUCUGAAUUAUGUCAAUGGUUGGUGGCAACAAGAAAGUCAGAAAUAUAUCCACUUCUCUACAGAUUAGUUAAACUUGUAUUACUUCUUCCAGUUUCAACUGCAACAACUGAACGGGUAUUUUCCGCGAUGAGUAUUAUCAAAAUUGAUCUCCGGAAUAAGAUGGAUGAUGACUUUCUCACUAAUUCUUUGAUCGUGUAUAUUGAAAGAGAAAUUGCCGAGAAGUUUACUAUUGAUUCAAUCAUUGAUGGAUUUCGUGACUUGAAGGAGUGCCGAGCACUAUUCUAAUUUUUUUAUGGUACGUAAAAUUUUUAAAGUUUUUUUUUGUAUUUGUGUACUUCAAAUUUUUAUUAUAUAUAGUUUGUUUUAUUAAUAUAUUUUGCAUAAUAUAUUUUUGGCCGCCCCAGAAUUAAAUCCUGGCUUCGUCCCUGUUUUUGGCUACUUUAAAUGCUCUAGAUCCAAGAAUUUAAGUUUCAUGGCACGGGAUCGUGCCUGAAACUUGCCAACACGGUACAGCAUGGCGUGUGCCGGACCGUGCUGACACGUGUCGGUCAUAAAAAAUGUGUGCUGACACGUAAUGGCAUGAAAUAUUUAUUUUUUUCAGCAACAAAAUAUGCUAAUUAUUUAUUAUGUAUUUUUAUCAAAUCUUUUGAACUUUAUUGAGAAAGUUACUUACUAAUUUUAAGAAUAGAGGGUUUUGAGUUGUGUCAUUGACACACAGGCUGUAUCGUGCCGAUAUCUUGCUGGCCCGAUACGGCACAGUGGAUACGGCCCGUGCCGAUGGGUACUUUUGUCUAGAUCAUAUUUAACAGUAUCGAUCGUCGAUUCGGAAGUUCCAUCAUCGAAAAUGACUAAUGAGUAUGAAGUCCUCUAUAUUCGUAAGAGCAUAGUAGCACUAUGUGUGUGUGUGUGUAGAACUAGGCUAGAAUACUAUUAAUAGUACGGAGCCCUCCGUGCUAUCAAAUUGUUUUCGAUGAUGAGACAUCCGAAUUGACGAUCGGUUCCAUUAAACAUGAUCUACGCUAUUAGAAGUAUCUAAAAACCAAUUUGGUAGCACAAAGCCCUCCAUGCUAUUAAUAGUAUACAAGUCAGACUCUAUAGAACUAGACUAGAAUACUAUUACUUAGCAGUUAGCAUGUAGGCCCCCCCCCCUCUCUGUGUGUUUGUGUGCGCGCGCGCGCAGCCUUCUUGCAUGCUAAAGGGGUAUCAGCUGUCAGAUCCUCGAAACAAAUAGCAUUGGUUUAUCUUGCUUAAAAAAUUACCUUUCAUCAUCGAAAAAUUUGCAGAUACUGCAAUAGUACUUUGCCAUUGAUAAUCCGUCGCAGGAGGGUGUUUGGCAUGUUGGGCCAACAGGCUGGACCUUCAAACAACGCAUACACAUCAUCUCUGCAGUUGCUUUCCUGCAAAUCCAAUAAACCGACAAAAUUAGUGUUGCUAUACAACACUUUCUCAACUUUAAGUCAAAUCUGGAGUCAACUGUCUGCAAGUAAUCACGACAUAUCCCAUCUGGAGUCAACACAAUGUCCUUACAAAUCAACACAUCCUUUCAAUCAGGAAAAAGCAUGCUUAUCCAAAGAUUUAGUUUUCAAACUAAACCAUCUUCAAAGUCUAAACAUGCAAUUAGCUAAUCGGUCGCAGGAAAUACUGAUAAGAUAACGAUUGUCAAUCGAUGUUCUCUUUCUUCCAAUCAAUGAAGGCACUUAAUACCAAAUUGAUAAAAUAUCCAAUUACAUAAGCAAGCAGGCUGUCUAAUGAUUCUAUGUUCAUACCGCAAAGCUUCCAACAAAACCAAGUUGUGAGGGCAAUAUGUGAUUAGACCUCUGCAUUUAAGCCCAAGUAUGCAGGUUUAUAUCUUAAGGAAUGAAAACUGAAGCAAGCACUAUUAAAGCAGUAUAUGUGUGAAACAUGCAUUUCAGAAUGAGACGUCUGUAUCCUCAAUCUUGUAAAUAAUGUGAAACAGUUAGAAAAUAAUGCCUCAAUACUUGAAAAAAUAAUAAAAUAAUUUAAUCUUCUACAACCAAGAAAGUUUGAUGGCAGAAAUUUUCUCAUUUUACUGAUACAACUAAAAAAGGUAUGGUAACAGAACUUUUAUCAUUUUAUUUAAGGGGUGCUCUACCUGUCCAUAGUAUGGUCGCUAACUUUAUCAUGACAGAACCGGCAUGUGAACAGCUUGCAACAACAUGCAGCAAGAAGUUUGCAGUUUCGUUUGUAAUGAUCACAGCCAAAUAUUUGCUUCUCUGGAUCUCGAAAAGAUGGAGAGCAGCCUGGUAUACCUUCACCGCCAUUGCUCUCUCCUGUCCUUGUAUGAGGUAAUUUUUGUUGAGCAGCUAUCCAUCGGCUGCAAUUAAAUACAUCCAGGCAUCAAAGAAAAUUUAAAAAUAUGAACUCAAAGAAUAUGUAAUCACUAAUCAGUAGAGCAAACCUUGUCAUUAGAUUUUGAAUCAGAUAUGCCUUCCUUCUAGGAUCAAGUGUGGGAUCUCGUGAGACCUUUCGAAUCUCUGACUCAAGCUCAUUUUGAUUCAUCCUAAAUAUAUCUUUCCAACCAGGUUUGAACAUCUGGUCGGUCUGAUCAAGACUUUCUCGGCACUCAGGUUCUAAGAAGCCAAAAGGACAAUAAACAAAUAAUUUAGAAUUAAGGGUCAAAGAAGAAAGAAAUGAGGACAGCAUUAAGUGCAUAUCUCCUAUAAGCCACCCAAUGACAACUAAAGAAAACUGAGUGUCACAUUAUUUAGAAAUAGAACAAAGAUUAAUUUAGCAACCUUUGGAAAAGGCAGGGCUCUUAGUAGUUGCCUGUGGUGAUUUAGGACUACCGCUCCACCACUCAUUUAGCCACUCAUUGAACAUUGUAUUUUUGGUUGCUUGCCUCCAUGUGUCGAUCAUCUUAUUCUGCUCUUCUUGAGUAAGAGCUGAAGUUACCCAGGGCAACAUCGACUGGAGAACCUCUGCUCCUGUCGUUCCAAUUAUACGACCUAUAAUCUUAUCCUGCUCCUCCACAGAAAAAUGCUUAUCAAACAAUGGCCACAGCUCAAGUUCUUCCCUGAGAACAUGAUUAUCCAGAGUAACUCUCAAAGAUUUGCACAUCCCAUGAAGCUUUGUGGCCAGUUCAUUUUGCUUUCUAGCCCAAUCAACACAAAUAGCCAGACAAUCCGAGCUUACUCUGUCUGCAUCACUCUUAGCAUCGUGAACUUGACUUAGACCAUCAUGUAUUUGCGAAAGCUCUGAAAGAACCUCAGAAAUAUCUUUAAAUAGUUUUUCCUCCUGCUUAUGGUCUAGAGUAUACGAAUGACUCACAUUGUGAAGAGUUUCUCUUGAUUCUAAAGCUGGGAAAACAAUAUCAUCUUCAGCAUUACUAUGAGCUCUAUACAAGCCCCACAAUAAACGAAAUCUACCGAUGAACUGCCGAAGGGAAUUUUCAUCACAAUCUAUAAGCUUUCCAGAUUCUACAUCCAUGUACUCCAGAUCCUUGCGAAUUGCUUUAUGAAAUUUGAAUAUAGCAUCAAUAGGCUUUACAGAGUUAACUGGAUCUGAUGACACAUUGUCCGAGUCCCAGCAAAAUAGACUGGAAUACAGUGAAGGAGCAGAAGCCAAUGAGCGAAUCCCUAGAUUGCUGCUAUCUACUCCUAAACCAGGUACACAGCAUGGCUUCUUGCCGCACUGGCGUCUUUGAAAUUCAGCAGUUUCUGAAUUGGCAACACCAAGUGGAUACACACUAGGUUCGGAGAAGUUUCCUCGUUUUACUGGCCUAACAUCAGUGCCAGAUCUUACAAGUGGAACAUCAGUCUUGGAGAUAAGAGGACAUGCACAUGCACAGAAUGCCUGACAUUCCUCCACUUCAUUCAUAUCGUCUAACGAACAGCCAUUAGCCGUGGAUGUCAAGCAUAUGAACUUGCCAUUGUCAGAAGUGUCCUGGGAACGACCUUUGCAUGCCCAACCAGAUAAGAGAGUGACAAGUGCAGUUUCAGAUGAUGAAGCUGCAUGAGAUAACAGAGCAUUGUAUUAUACAACAUGUAUUACAAGACAAACAAAGAGGUGAUAAAAUAAAUUCAAACCUGCAAGAUGCAUGUUUUGAAGAAAAGACCUUGCCUCUUCAUCGCUCAGCUUUGAUACAAGCCAUGGUAAUACCCGCUCUAACAAUUUUAAGGGCAUUACACAUAUACUUUUGUACAGAAGUUCCCGCUGCUUGUCAGGAGAGAAAUGCAUCCUAGCUAGAGGAAGAACCUAGAAGAAAAAAUGUGUAUAUUGAGAUCCCUUUCAUCGGUUUUUGUGAAAUAAUAACUAGAAUAAUAUUAACAAUACUGGACCUACCUCGGCUUCCUCACUGUGGAAGUGCUUCUGAAUCGUCUCCAUUAUUUGAUCAGCAUGGGAACACAACUCUGCAUAAAAUUCUGCACUAGUUGAUUCAGCUCCUGCUCUCUGGAUUCUUUCUAUCAAACACCUAAAUUUGUUAAAUUGAGUUUCUUCUUCAGCAUGCUCCUGAACAAAAGAAACCUCCCCAUCGACUGCUGGAAAUAUUACUUGAUCCUCUGCAAUACUGCACACAAAAACACACUUACGAGUUAAAAGAACAGUAGAUAUAUUAUGGAGUGAUUCAACUAAUCUAUGAUAAUCUCUUCAAAAGCCAUGCACCCAAGCCUAAUUCAUUAUAACUAUUUUACUUGCAUACUUUCUGAAUGGAGCAGUGGAGCUAGACAUGAUCAAUGUGCUCCAUCAAUGAGAAAUACAAAUACACUAUUCCUCUGUGUAGUUCGUAUUCUGCUUAAUAAUGAUUCACUUGUUAGUUCUAACUAAAUCUACUUACGCACAAAGACACAUAAAAUAAAUAUAAGGGUAUGUGUCACAGAUGAACACAUUAAAAUAAUGUAAACAUCUCUUAUAUUCCACUCAGAACAAUUCCAUAAAAAAUAAGUAGCAAAGCUCCUGAAGAUGCUCAUUGGAAAUCAAGAUACUGGAUAUUCAUAAUCACAAUGAGAGACCAUUUUCCAUGUUCAUUUGCUGUGAAGCACCUAGGGUCAUACAAGAUAAUAAACCAAGACGUAAAUAGAGAAAAAGCAGGGCACAGCAUCAAUUAAGGCCUUGUUUGGCAUCAUUUGUCUUUUUUUUGUUUUUAAAAUAGAAUUUCUACAUAAAAUAGUGUAGGCGGAUGUCUGAUUGAUUGCAAUCCUUACAUCCAAGGUGUUUGUUCGGCAACAAGAGACAAAAACUUGGAAGCAACUCCCUUUUUGCUUCCAAGAUUUUUUUUUUUUAAGGUGGUCAUCCAUCAUUUGGCCAGGAUAUAUUACAAGCUAUCCAACUCUGACAACAAGAGGAAAGUCCAUCCACCAAUAUAUCAUUAUAUAGAAUUAGUGUUAAAAAAAGCAAAAAGCAGCAAUGAUGCCAAAUGAGGCCUAAAACUGUUAGUUUCCACUAUUUUGAGUCAACUUGGCAUCAAUCAUUAGCCUAAGAAGUUCCUCAAACCAACUAAAUUUGUGUCCUUUCUCGAUGCAUUGUUGUUAAUUUUCAUCUUCUGUCCACAAGGCUCCUUUUAUUCAAGAAAAAUCACCUUAUUCAAGAAAAUCACCCCUCUUCACUUGCCCACUAAAAUAGUCACCAUUGCAUCUGUCCAAACCAACUCAAACUGUCUUCAUGCAACUUAAAACCGAUAGGCACCACAUUAAAUGUGUCAAAGUACAUGAAUUUCAUUUUUUUUCCCCUUCCUUGGAAGACCAUAAAACUAAAGGAAAACAAAGAUAGGAAAAAAAUUUCAAAAGAAGCAUUUCUGCAAUGGAAGUACAAAUAGCAAGACAAAAAAAUGUCUUACGGUCAGUGGAGUUAAAAAGUAAGGCAAAGAAAAGAACUUGUGUCGAAAAGGCAAACAAGAAUUGUACCUAUGGAAAAUGCAUACAUCAGCAAUAAACUGAAGUCUCAUAUUGAAGACAGAUAAAUCAGAAAAAUCUCCAGAACUUUGUAUCUUUCUUGCCUCUUCUGCUAUCUCAUUCAGUUCUAAUCUGAUUGCAUUAUGCCAAUGCAAUAUUUCAUCUAUUGGGUGCACCCUAAUAUUGUCUGAAGAGCUGCUUUCUGAAUCUUUGAGUUUCCUCUUUCCAAUCCUGGAAUACGCAUGCGGACACAUAUGCUUAUCGGGGUAAUCCAUGGACAAAACAGUCCCACCACUAGAAGAGUUCUCGGUUUGAUCUUUCACCUUAUUGAUUGUUCCUUUACCUUCCAUCCAAGUGAAUAUAACCUACAAUAUUCAACUAGAAGUUAAAUGCAUUAUGGCCCAGUCAGAUAAAGAAAAGGAACAGUAAUAAUUAUCAAUACCUGCUGAAGAAGCUUUUCUUCUGGGAUUAUCUUGCACAAAGAUUUGAGCAUAUCUUGAUGUUCAUCAGGUGAAACACAAGCUGAAAGCCACGGAAGGAAUUCUACCAUCAUGUUCACAGGAAUAUUACACAAGAACUGCCAAACCAAAUCAGCUUGCUCUUCAAACGAGAACUUCUCAAUCAGCAAGGGGAAGACCUGAAACAUUUGAACUUUUAGCAGUGAUCAAUAUUUGCAUGGAAUGCUUCAUAGGUGGAUUUAAGAUAGGAUAACUUAUAAAUACCAUAGCAAAGUAACAUGGCAUCAAAUAUCAAUUGAACAAAACAUUAAGAAAACAUCAAGUUGAGAAUAAAAUGAUAAGUGGGAGCCACCUGAGAGGAAAAAAGUAGAAUGAAAUGAUGUGAAAGAAAGCACGGCGUACACCUUCCAAAAAGCCUUAAACAAGUUGAGAUACAAGUUCCAACGUGCUGUUGUAAAGACCAAUAUCCUACUACAAUAAUGUUUCAUUACAUCAUGACUUGGCAACAUGCUGUAUAGUUUGAAUUUCGCUCAGAAAAACAAAAAUAUGCUAAUUGCUCCUAAAAAUGAUCCGACAGCUGAUGAAAUUUCUAACAAAAUAGAGCUGAGUUUCUGUGGCAUAUCGGACCUUCGUAGAUUGGCAAGGUUACCAUAUGCAGUGAUGGUUGGCACUUCUGUAGAGUGUUGGACUAAGUUGGAGCCAUUUUUGCACAAAAUAAACAGGAAAAUGGACUCUAAAGACUGACCUCAGCUGAAACUAAGUCCCAGAGCUUUUUCGAACGCAAGGGAGCGGUUUAGGGCACCCGAAAGUGGAGAGCUGAGAAGCAGGAGGAUCCUAAUGGUGAUUUCAGAUGCCUAUUACUGCUGUAGCUGAGCCCAGAAGAGUGAGUCACCGCUCACACCACGUAUUGAAUGCCUAGAAGUUACUGUAGCACCCCAAAUAAUUGGAUAAGUGCAACUGAAUGACAGAGAUAAAGCGGAAAGCAGGUGAGUCACUGUAGAGUUUCGGAUGCUUGGUCCGGGCGCUCGAAAAUGUGUGAGCGAUGCUUCAAUGGGUUCGAGCCGUCGAAUGUAAAGUGAGGACGUCUGAGAAUCUACGGCUUUGUGUCAAACGCCCGAAUGUGGUUCCGAGCGCCUGAAACCUGUAUUUUGGCCUGACGUUGAUUUCUGAAAAAUUGAAGGGCUUCCUUGCCAUUGUUUCCAGCCUAUUUAUAGUCCAGCGGAGCUCAGCUUCUUCUCUUUUCAUUCUUGUUGAUCUGAGCCUUUUCCUUCUCUGUUUCUCUCUCCUUCUCCUUGGCAUAGAUUAGGACCCUGGUUGGGAGAGCCCAGAAGGUGAUUGCUCACCUUAUUGAUGGUCUUCUGAGGACCUUAGAGGCAUUCUUAGCUAACUGAGGCAGUGGGGUGAGGAGUGUGGAUGAUCCUUACUGAGGCCUUUGGUGGAAUUUGAGGUCAAUAAAAUUUGAGCUUAUAGUAUGAAGUGCAAUUUUAGUUGAUUCUUGAUGUAGCAGUGAAUUUUGUUGGUUAAGAGUUGAGUUUGAGCUUCCUUAUUGAAUUAUUGGUGUUGAGGAGGAGAUGUUGAGCGUGUUCCUUUUCCACCUUCUUCGGAGUUGAUCCAGGUGGGUUCCAUGUCGCCGAAAAUGGCAACUAACUCCUAUGUCUAUUUUGCAUGAUUUAGUCUGUUGAGAUGGUCCGUUGAUAUAGUUGAGAUGACAGUAGUGAUUUAGACACCUACCUAUUGAGUUGAUUAUACUCUUGAACUAUACAUGAUUGCCUAUAUUUUCCUUAUGUGAGAUUUGGUAGAGAUAAAUACCCUAUCAGUAUGUGGAGCUGUAUACAGAUAUAUUGUGUUUUCACUACUAGAGAUUUUAUUGCCUGAUUAUACAUGAGAUGAGCAAAUUGGAAAAAAUGCCACGGGACAGUGGAUAGUAAUAUUCGGUAAGACUAUGAUUGUGCCAGGGGCACCUGGACAGUAUGAUUAUGAUCUUUUUUAUCACUGCAUUUGACUACAGCCUGCAUAAGCUACAUUGAGCUUGACAGAGAUAUUGUGAUAUGAUACUCGGUGGAGUCACACCCCUCGAGUGCCCCUCCGGAGGCUGGCGGCUGAUAUAGUUGCGCUAGACAGCUCGUAUGUUGACGAACCACUGGUGAGAGUGGGGAUCGGGCAUCGGGCGAGCGCAAGCUUGACCGGACUUAUGAGUCGGUCGAAGUGAUUGGGUUAUGCAGCAUUGCUUUAUUCGGUUAUUUUUACUUAAUGCAUACAUUAUCUGAUUUACAGCAUUCAGCAGUAGUAUAGAGGCAUGAUAGUAGUAAUUUACUUUCAGCUCAGUCAUAUCCUGUUAUUCUUACAGUUCAGUUUACUAUUUUUGCUUCUAGUAAACUUAGUAGUAUAGGUCGUCGUUGUCGUCGACUGUAUCCAGUGGAGGCUACUGUUCACUAGUUCUCACGACCUCUUUUGUUGUUUGUCUUUUCAGAGCUCUCAGUGCCAGUGUCUAAUUGAGGUAAGAGGUUUGCGAGCUAAAUAGUGUCCUCUACCCAACUGUACAUUGCCUAGAGGAGGACCACUAGUGCGUAAUUAGUACAGCAGGCUGUCCUUAUGUAUCAAGUUGGAGAGACCAGUGGGAGUAUUGUAUAUUUCUUUAUCAUCAGUUGGAUGGAUGUUGUAUACAGUGAUGACUAUACUUUUGUAGAUGUUCAUAGACUCUGAAACAUGUUUUAUGUCUAUACAAACUCCUGUUAUUUGUGUUUGAGUCAGAUGGUUUGUGGACGCUUCAUAUGUGCGGGGAUGGUGGGUUUGUUAGCAUACCCGGGGGCUUCCGCUGUGGCCCCGGGCAUGACAAUUUCUUGCUAACAAAUUUCAGAGUUAGCUAAGUAAAAGGCAAAAACUAAGCAUAGGUUAGGAAAUGUAUCUACACAGUGACUAUUCUCGCAAAGAGAUGUCCAAGCGCACAGCAAGUCUAAGUUCAUUUAACUAGAAAGCAAGAUGCCACGAGGAUGCUGCACAGUCAACCAGCCAUAUUUAAAUGCUAGUCAAUCUAGUAAUCAUCAGCAUGAUGAUUGCAUCAUUUUCUACAAAUUUUAGCAGUUCAAUCUUUUUAAUUUACAAUGGGUUGGGGAAGAUUUGUUAUUAGUCAAAAUAAUUUAGGUUUCCAUCUAUAUAGCUAUUUAUAUGAUUCUAAAUUCUUUUUAAAAAGACUUACUUCUACAACUUUGAAUGAAUUUAGCCCACGAACAUAGGAAGAAAACCAAUGGACUUAAAUUAUAAAAUUGAUUUGGCGAUUUAACACCAAUUUCCCACUUUACCUCAUCUUCCUGUCUAAAAAUUGAUUCUUUCCACUACUACGGAACAAAAACUUUCUUCCAUCUAAUCUUAAUCUUAAUUAUGUGUCGUUUCCAAUUGAACAUUUAUCAACUAUAUUCCAGCCUAUUCACUCACAAUAACUCUUCAUGCCUGAGGUUUUAACUGAAAUAGAAAAAGGGAACUGAUCGUUGCUACUGAAAUAGAAAAAGGGAACUGAUCAUUUCUUCAAAGUGGCAAUGCUCUCAUAUAAAUCAACUGCCAAAACCCAUGUAUCUACGAAAAUCAUCAGAUGAUAGAACAUUGUAGAAUAUGAGCAUAUUAUUUGCCUAGUAAUGCCAGAAGUAUAGGUCCACUCAGACUGGUAAAUUUGUCUAUAACAUGAAUGAAUUGAUUGAAAAACCAUGGAUUCUAUAGUUCACAAGGACAGAUCAAUUACAUUUAACAAACAUAAAAACCAACACUGCAAACAAUUCAAAAACUAAAAUUUACCUGCUCCUCUUCCUUCGACAUGUGUUGGCUAAGAGAUGUUUGAAUGGCUCGCGUGCAUGAUGCAAGUUCUCGUCGAAAACCAUCAUUAUUUUGCACAUCAAGAUGUAAUAGAUCAAACAACUGAUUAAAAAGAUCACUUUCUCCUUUAUGCUCAAGCGAAUACGUCCUAGCAACAUUCUUAACGCGUAUGUCGAGAGCAGGAAAGAUAACCUGCAAUUGUUAAAGCAAUUAUUUUAUUACACAUAUAUCCAAAUUAAUGCCAAAAGAACAAAUGUGUUAUUAUAUUAUUCAGCGCUCUUUUAGAUCAUUCUUUCAUUUCGAAGAAGAAACACUCAUAUUACUAAGUCUAUGUUUGAUAACAUUACAGUUAGUCGAAGCUCUGUUGCAAACUUCUGACGUAGAAAACAUUACAAUUCAGCUUUCAAAAUAUAUAUAUGAAAGACACCUCUCUCAUUUUUGACUGCCAAACUUGAAAAGAAAAAAAAAAUUACAACUCAAUUGGUACUGCAGGGUUAAUUGGAGGAAUAUACUUUAUCAGUGUUAUCCGCAAUAAAGUAAGGGGGGAAAGACUUCAAUUCUAAAAGACACAAAGUACCGAUUCUUUUUCACUUUCUUCCUUAACAAGAUACCAUUCCACAUCCAACCAGAGUGCAUCACAAGCUACACGACAACAACAAGGACGGAGAACUACAUUCACCAGCGCAUUCCCGCAUGGAAUUUGGGUUUCAAACAAAAAAAGAAAGAAAGAAAGCAAUAAAGUCGUGGCAAACGAGGCAUAAACAAAUAUGGAUGUCUGGUAGCCAGUUCAGCAUAACAACGCAUCUUCGAGAAACAGGAGGCAAAAACAAACAGGAUGAAGCAUGUCGUCAAAUCAGAUAAUCUCUAAAUUUUAACCUACCGAAUUUCGACAGAAUAUCAAUAAUAAACAAGUUUAAAAACAAGAAUUUAAUAAACAAGUUUAAAAACAAGAAUUUUGACAUACCACAUCAUUUACGACAACAAUAGUUUUCAAUCACAGAUUCUGCUGCAAUACAGUGCAGGGAGGCAAGUUGAACCUUAUUCACCCUC
This 70004-nucleotide long non-coding RNA is filed under the name Ananas comosus (pineapple). RNAcentral's name for it is "long non-coding RNA (ACOM_LNC017677)". Lineage: Eukaryota; Viridiplantae; Streptophyta; Magnoliopsida; Poales; Bromeliaceae. The record is from RNAcentral.